This 47765-nucleotide long non-coding RNA is filed under the name Citrus x clementina. RNAcentral's name for it is "Citrus clementina (C. clementina) long non-coding RNA (CCLE_LNC002775)". The record is from RNAcentral. Lineage: Eukaryota; Viridiplantae; Streptophyta; Magnoliopsida; Sapindales; Rutaceae.
CCCGUGGUGUCGACUACCCCUUCCAUUGACUCACAAUAGCUUAUCUCAAGAUGUUGGAGUUUCGCAAGACUAUUAACCAUAGAAUAUGAAAACAGAUACUUCAGACAAUCACAACUCCACACGAUGACCUUUGUUAAGUUUUGACAACAGUACAUUCCUUGAUUAUGAUCGGCCCAUAAUUUUUUCAUGUUUCUUAAGUUCCUGAUAUUCAAUUCCUCUAAGCUCGGAAGAAUAAUAACCUGCAAAGAAAACCCGUACAUUUUUGUUCCUUCAAGUACAACCGUCUAGUAUAAUAUUUUUUGAUGAUCGAAGAUUAAUCGUGAAUCCGUGAUAAUAAAUUAAUCAAUUAAUUAUUGAACAGAAAAUUAUCACCUUUGGAGCAGGGUCAUCAUCAGCAAUGAUUUCGUUAAAUCCCAAAGAAGAAGUUGGUUUCUCCCUGUCGGGUCCUAUAAACAAACAAAAACAAUAUACAUAAUUAAUCUUUGUUCUUUUUUUUUUUUUGGUCCAAAAUAAUUGAAGAGAAGUCCAUAAUCCCACCAAUACUUAACUUCAACACUUACCAAAAAUCAUUUCCAGAUCAUGGCAAAACUCCACUUCUACCUUUUGAAGCCGCAGUAGGUUUUUGGCUAUGGAGAAUGAGAAAAGAUGCUUCAAUUUGUAACAGGAAUAUACUUCUAUAAUCCUUAAGUUGCUGAAAGAUUGAUCUUCUGUGAGUUGGCUGUCACAUAUUGUCUCCAAAUUGAUCAAACGACGAAGAGACAAUGACUCCAGCAAGGGGAAGACUUUGCGACGAACCCGUCCAACUGAACGGACAAUAUGCAAAAUCUCAGAACAACUUUUUACAGAAAGAUGCUUCAAUCGUGGAAAACCUUCCCCAUCAUCUAAUUCACCCUUCAGUUCUUCUAGAUAGAGAUAUUCAGUUCUCUUCAACAACAGUUUCAUCCUGUAAUUCUGCAAAAGAAUGCCAAACUUUUCUAGCCCCUGGAGCUUCAUCAAUCUUGAUAAUCCAGAUUUAACGGACCGGCUGCUCCACCACGUAUUUCCUAUACAUAUCCUAUAGCUUUGCAAUUCCACAGAGACCAAAUCCUGUGGUAGAAUUUCGGCAUCCCGAACGUGUAUCUCCAAAGUAGUUAGCUUUGACAACCCCUUCAACUCAACAAGACUGGCGUUACUUCCUCCUUCAACCUUCUCCCACUGUGAAAAGCUGUUACUCAUAUAUAGUUCUUCUAAUCGAGAUAAUUUUGAUAUGACAUUUGGAGCUAUCACCACAAGGCUGCUACAAUUGCUCAAAUCUAGCAACUGUAAUCUCGUCAAUUGUCCAAUUACAAGUGGCAACUCCUUAACAUCAGAAUCUCGAAGGCUGAGAAUCUCUAAUUUCUUUAGCUGUCCAACUAUUGCUAUAUCUUUUAGUCCGCAACCAUCUAAACAAAAUGUUUGAAGGUUAAUGAGGCGACCAAGUGAUGAAGGUAAUGAAGAGAAAGGAAUUCUAGUAAGACUUAACACUUUGAGUUCUUCUGUCCCUUCAAAAAAGAGGUCUGAAAUUUGCAUAGGGCCAUAACCCUUUCCAAACAACAAAAAUAACUGGAGAUUGGGACAUUGCAACCUUUCAGGGAGCUCUUGGAUAUCUCUAUGAGGCAAUGAAAUAGCAAUUGGUCCUUUCUGUUUCGUCUCUUCCAUCUUUUUCUCAACGUCAGCAACAUUUGGAAUAUUAAACAUGCGCUUCUCUGCGGCAAUUGAUACGGCAACAACAUGAAUGACGUCAUGCAUUUUAACUUCAUCUUCAGCAUCACCGUCCAACAAUAAGCAUGAAGAUUUGAGAUUGUCGAUCAACCGAUGCACUCUACUCCUUGCUUCUUCCAAUGUGUAAACAUUUUCAAACAAACCCCAACCCACGCCAUAUCUCAAUAAGUCAGAAACUUCUAUGGCAUCACCUUCACUGUACAGACCACAAAGACGGAACAAAGAUUUUGCCUCCGCACUUUCCAAGAAGUCAUAACUCAAUAUUAUGGAGGUGUACACAUUUGCUUGCAUGCCAUGAAUUUCUCUUGCAUCCGAUCUUCUUAGCUGAUUCAAUGCAUCUUUCCAAAAGUCAAGCUCCUUAGUUUUCAGAGCAUUUGCAACUGUACUCAGUGCAACAGGCAAACCUCCGCAUCUUUCAACGAUCUCAUUUGCCAUACUUUGAAAAGCAGAUAUUUUAGUUGAAUCACCCACUAUCUUCUCAAAUAACUGCAAUGCUUCUUCUUUUGAUAAAGCAUCGAUCCAGAAAAUUUUCUGACAAUUCAUAUCAUUGCACAAUAAAUCUCGACUUCUAGACGUCAAUAUUAUUGUGCAUCUUCUCUGAUCAUCCUCUCUAUCUUUCUCAUCAACAUCUCCAGAAGGAAUUCCAACCGCAUCCAACUCAAGUUUUGUCCAAAUAUUAUCCAAUAUAAUGAGGACCCGCUUCUCUUGCUUCAACCUUUCACGCAGUCGAGAAGCUCUAUGGUGUAUACUAUCAUUCAAGUCAAAUUUCAUGCCUAAAUCAGAAGCGAGCUUGUCUUGAAUUUUCUGGGGAUCUGGGUUCUGUGUUACCUCAGCCAUAACGACCUUAUCGAUCAACUUAUCUUCCAUCACUUUCUUAGCAACUUGCUUGACUAGCGUGGUUUUACCCACGCCGCCCAUGCCGUAGACCCCAAUUAUGUUGAGCUUAUCAUCCUUCAACGCCUCCAUAACAUCCUGAAAUACUUUCAUUCUUGAAUCAAAGGCCUCGUUAUCUUUCCCGUCAUUAAGUCCUGUGCUCUUUGGAGUAGGACGGUAGGAAACAUUAGAGAAGUUGCCUUUUCCCACGAGACCAGCGGCAGCUUCUGCGGCCUUUGCUGCUUGUUUACUAAGCUUGUAACGGGACAUCAAAUUUGGGCACAAUCCUUUGAAGCAGAACUUCUUAGCUCUUUCUUCAUCAUCAAUGAUGGAUUUUGCAACCCCUUCACUUAUGAAUUCAUCAACGCUAUGUAGCCAGUCUGUGACACCCUCAUAAAGCUCAUCCCCUUGUAGCCUAGCAUGAUUAACUGGUUGCUGCACCGUUUCUCUUUUAUAUCCCAGCUGCUUUACUUGAUCUUUUAGAUCAUCUAUGUAGCUCUGGUACUUGAACACAUAAGAUAUCUGCCGUAUAAUCGGUUUGAACAAUGACUUUGCACCUUCUGAUACGAUGCUGGAGAAAGCUGCAAGACCCACCUCUGCCAUUGCCUGCUGCUUAACAAAUCUAAUAAAAUGUCAAAGAAAGGAAUUCAAAUAAAUUAAAAUGAACUAGAGGGAAAGACAAAAAAGGAAAAGGCAGUAAACAGUGUCGCAACAUUGAUCUUGAAUCAACUGAAACAUGAACAGAGCAUUUUUUCUUCUUUGUUAAGGAUCAGAGUUUUUGCUAUUAACAAAACCUACUUCAAGCGUCUUAAAAAAAAAAACUGUAAAUUUACCAUAAAUGAACAAUAACUACAAAACUCAAGCAAAACAAGCCACAGAAUUUUUAUCUUGGAAAGUGGAUGGAAUUAAGAAAGAAAUGCUAUAAAGAUCAAGCAUCAGAGAUUAUGCUAUUAAAAGAAAUUAAUUGAAGGUUUUAGAUCAAGUGCGCCUAUUUAAUUAUGUGGGGUCAGAAAGUUGAUGAGCCUCUGUGAUCGCCUUGAAUAUUUAAGAGCAAUUUCAAUGAGCAAAAAAUUUCUGUUACCUGCAGAGGAAUGUGAUUAUAGAGAGCUUAUAGGGUAAUGACAAUGAUUUGGAAAAGAAGAAGACUUAAUCAUGCAGCCCUUAAUAUUUAUUAAAUGACUUGUGAUCAUUUCUUUUAUGAAUAAAAUGCCAAUAGCAAAAAGAGAAAAAAGGGCGAAAUUUACUAAGUCUUAUUUUAUUUUUAAUUUCUUUUAUUUCCAUUCGCCGAAGAGGGAAUCUCUCCCUCUUUUUGUUUUUUUUUAAGGGGAAUCUCCUUACCUAAUAUGACAUAAUGAAAGCAAUCUGUAAAUAGUCAUAUAAUGUAAUAAUUAAAAAUACCCACAUAUUUAUAAUAUUAAUGAUGGGAUCCAUGUGUUUAUACUAAUUAAAUUGGUGGACCAGAAUUUAUUUGACCGUACUUGUUUUCUAUUUAAUUAAGAUUGAAACGAUAGAGAAAAAUUGUCGUAUUGAUUGUUUCGAUUGUGGAGUUCCAACACUGAAAGUGAAGAUUUCAUCAACUUUCUCACAUGGACACGUACCGUCAUGCAUAUUGCAUUAUUUUCCUAGAAAAGCAAGAUUAAUUCUUUUAAUAAUUGUGAAUUCAGGAAAACAGGUGGAUAAUAACUAAAAUAUUUAUUUUUAUAUUUUUGAUAAACGCACUCACUAUUAAUAGAAUUCAUUAGAUAUCAUAACUUAAAUAACUUUUUGUGAUUGAUUGAGGGUAUCUUUUACUUCCCAAUAAUUAACUUCUAUGUUGAUUCUCAGAAAAUUAAUUUUACGAAUAAUUUAGUAGGGUGUUUGGUAAAUGAUGAUUAUUUGACAAUCAGUUUUCAAAUAGUCUACUAUACAAAUUUGAUAAGUGAAAAUUGAAAGUGUAAUAUUCAUGUGCAAUGAUAAAAAUGUACUUGUUUGCUUAUUUGUAGCUUAUUUAGAAUAUUAUUAUUAACAUCAUUUUUUUAUUUACUGGAUUUUUAAAGAGUAUAUUCUACUUUCUUUAUUACAUAUCUAUAUCAUUUUUUUAUUAACUAUUUUAAUUUGCAAUAAAACUAACUUUAAUAUUUUUUAACUAAAAAAUUCAUGCUAACAUAUUAUUAAAUUGAUUAAUAAAUAAGUGCAAAAAGAAAAUGCAAAAAUUUAAUCUUUAUAUAAACUUUUAUGUACAUAAAACUAUUGCAAUCAAAGUAGUUCAUAAAAAUAAAAUAUUCUAUACAUGUGUGUAAAAAAAAAAUAUAACUACAAUAUUGUCCACUCAUUAAAUUUGCAGCACUAUUAUUUCUCAGUCUCCCCAUCUCUCGACCUUUACCUUUAGGAACAUUAACACCAUGAUCUUCUUCUUGAAUUCGACCUCCAUUUCCACAGUAUCAACAAGGCGAUCAAUUUGCUGUGACAGCCUUUCAACUCCUCCCACUUUCCUCCCUUUUGAGGCCGCCCUUUUUCUUUUUCUUUCUUUGAUAGCUUCAAUGGGAACAAACUCAUCUAACGACAAGUACAUUCUUCAACCACAGUAGAAUUGGUUGUUGAUAUUUUACUACUCUCAUAUGGUAUGUAAACAUGGUCACCAGUGAUUGUUAUAUUAAAAAAAAAUUCUAUUCAAUUUUUCCUCUGACUUUGUGUCGAUACCUUUCAUGCAAAAUCUAUUUGCUUCAGAAAUUUCUUCCGUAUGUUGAUAUCAUAUUAAAGUGAAUUCAAGAUCCUAUAUUAUUUUGCAUGACAUCAAAGUUUAGCCGAAUGGUAAAGAAUUUCCCUUUUUGUUUGUCCCACAACUAUAUAGUCUCAUUUUUGGCAAUAAGCUCACAAUAUGCACGGAAAUGAAGAUUUAUUAAAAACUUCCCUAUAAUAUUAAACACUAAACAAUAUCACUAUAACCAAAGUUGGCUGGUGUGAGUGGUUCGGCACUCUCACUCCUUAAGAGAGGUCAGGGGUUCAAGCCCCGCUCUCGUAUGGAGUCACCACUUUGGCCAGCACUUUACCCCUUAUGGGCCGACCCGGUGCGAGCGGGGAUUAGUCUGGGUUGUGGUACGGGCUUAAAGGUGCCUCCCACAGUUGGGGCCCACUCAGGACCACCUCGUGGUUCAGACCAAAAAAAAAAAAUAAACAAUAUCACUAUGUUGUGCAUAUGGUGCCUCGUCAACAAUUUGAUGUUCAUUUUGUUGCUCGGGUGAAUAUGACUACUUGGGUUGCGAGUCCAUGCUUUUGUCGUUUGGAUGGAGGACGGGCCAUCUUUUUAUUUUAGAUGGUUUGUAGGACUUUUGAUAAUUAUUUUUCUAAAACUGAUUUCUGGUUAAUAAGACCUAUGAAAGCAUUCGAAGAAGCCACCGAACUCAGAGGAAAGCCAUGGUUAAAUAUACUGCGAAGUAUGUGAGCUCGUUUUUUAAUCUCUUGAUCACUCAUAAGCUUUUCUAUACCACUCACUAUAUCAUCCUUUUGAAUCAAUUUUGAUUGAUCAUCAGAGAUCAUGUACCCACCUUGAGAUGAUUGAUCACAAAUUUGGCAUUGUAAUGUUGGUCACCUCUAAUUGGCCAUGCUAAAAUUGGGACUUGACAACCAAUUGUUUCACUGUUGAAUUCCAUCCACAGUGAGAUAAAAAUUCACCCGUUGAUUCAUGUCCCGCUCUCUUAUGAAGUCACCACUUUGGCCAGUACUUUACCCUUUAUGGGCCAACCCGGUGCGAGCGGGGAUUAGUCUGAGUUGUGGUACGGGCUUAAAGGUGUCUUCCACAGUUGGAGCCCACUCAGGACCACCUCGUGGUUCAAACAAAAAAAAAAAAAUCCACCCGUUGAUUGAUGACUCAAUAUCAAUAAUUGUGGGGCUCAUCCAUCUAUUAUCAAACCCGUUUCACCGACUUUAUUAUCCAAACCACUACGAAAAUAACUGCCUUCUACUGGUUUGUUCAAAUGACGUAGAGGAUCCAAUCUACCUGCACCACCUUGAAUUACCCAAAUAAACGGUCGAUUUGAUGCUUCUAAAGCAUUGGCUAGUACUAGGUACUCAUCUAAGGUCGGAUCCACUUCAGUACCAAAUGACACAUAUAACACAGAUCCGCGUGAUUUCAAAUUCAAUCAUUGAACGAUCUCAUCUUCCGUCAUGUUAGAACUCCGCCGGUUGGUUCUCAUCUCAUGAUCAUGAAGCACUUAACCGGCCAAUUUGUAAAAUUGUUCAGGUAACAGUGGGCCCACUCCCCACAUCGGCUUUCUCAAUUCAUUGGCUAAAUAAUUAUAAAUGGUCCCUCAAGACCAUCACACGUGUUGAACAUCAACGCCAUUGAUCCCUCCGCUUCCUUCAUCCAGUGUGGUUGAUCACCGGCCUCUGGUGGACCUAUUUUCUCGGAACCAGGUGCACCUCUCAGAGGUGGUGGACCACCAGGAGGGUGCCCAUGAGGCCUUGUUUAAGAUUCGAUUCAAAUAAAGCCAUAUCCUCGGGUAACCCAGGAAGUAAAUGGGCCUCUCCCGGUUUGACAUCUUGGAUGCGAGCCUACCACAUGGCACACUCCACAGCUGCCGAGCAAGCACCAGAAGUGAAGAACCCAACAAUGGGAACUUCAAAAAUCUUGAAAACAUCAGCCGUCCAGCCCAUCAUAACGUCGAUGACUGCACAAACGGGUCGGCUUUUGGGUUCCCGGGUUGAAAGGAGGUUUCGAAGGCCUUGAAGCAUUUGGUUGUGCAUGACAACAUGGGGGUGAGGAGACGAAGGAGGGUAUUUUAGUAAUUUCAAAUAGAGGGUAUUGGUGAAGAGGGGAAGGGGUGAUGCUGUGUUGAAUCAAAAUAGAGUAAAAACUCUAAUUGAUCAAGAAGAAGAAAAACACUCUUUAGAAUAAUCUCACAAAAUUGCAAAAGAGAAGAACUCUUAAGAAAACUUUCAAAUGCUUAUAAUAAAGCUUUGAUUGUUAAAUUAUAAAACUCAAAUACAAAUAAGGUAUUUAUAGGUUACAAGAAACAAUCUAAACCACUCAUUAAAAUAACCACAAACUAAUUUAAACCAUUGAAAUUAAACAUGAGAAAAAUACCUAAUUUUCACCUAACUAAAUUGAUGUAAGCAAUGACAUCAAAUUAAUUUGGGUGUGGACUUAUUUGGGCUAAUAUUGACUUCUCAACACUCCCCCUCAAUGUUAGCCCAAUUCUUUGAAUCACGCCAAGCUGACGACGGAAAUGUUCAAACUUUCCAACACUCAAGCUUUUUGUAAACAAGUCCGCAGUUUGCUCAUCUGUCUUGACUUGCCUCAUCUCAAUCUCUUCUUGCAGAACUUUUUCCCUAACAAAGUGGUAAUGCACUUCCACAUGUUUAGUUCUUGCAUGAAAAACAGGAUUCUCCGCCAGCCGAAUUGCCGAUUGGUUGUCACAGUACAACAGAACUGCAUAAUCUACUGGUUGAUGUAGAUCAUUCAUUAGUUGUAUCAGCCACGUGCUUUCUUGAGCUGCCAUUGCUGCUGCUCGGUACUCUGCUUCCGUAGUUGACAAGGACACAGUCGGUUGUCUCUUGCUACACCAAGAAAUCGUUCCAGAUCCAAGGGUAAACAUAUACCCAGUAGUUGAUCUGCGAGUAUCGUGAUCUCCUGCAUAGUCAGCAUCACAGUAGCCAACUAGUUUGUAAUUUCCACCUUUCUUGUAUAGAAGACCAUAGUCUAUUGUACUCUUCACAUAUCUGAGUACUCGCCGAACCGCUUCUAAAUGAGACUUCUUCGGAUUUUGCAUGUAUCGACUCAUCACACCAACUGCAUAAGAAAUGUCAGGUCGAGUCAAGGUUAAGUAGAUUAGACUACCCACUAAUUGUCGAUACAUCGAUGCAUCUUCCAGGUCUUUGCCUUCAUGUGCACACAUCUUGGCAUUUGGUUCCAUCGGCGUUGAGAUCGGCUUACAUUCUAGCAUCCCAAACUUCUUCAACAAAUCUUUGGCAUAUUUCUGUUGACAAAGAAAUAUCCCUUCUUUCAUCUGAUCAACCUCUAGCUCAAGGAAAUGCUUAAGUUGUCCAAGUUCUUUCAUUUGAAAACGAACUGACAAGUUCUCCUUUGUUCGGAAAAUUUCUUCAAUAUCAUCUCCAGUGAUGAUUAGAUCAUCUACGUACACGAGCACAAUAGCUAUCCUUUCUCCAUUAGCUUUAGCAAACAAGCUGGAGUCUGCAGAUGUUACUGAAUACCCACUUUGAGUUAGAAAUUCAGCAAUCUUGCCAUACCACGCCCUGGGUGCUUGUUUUAGUCCGUAGAGAGCCUUUUGCAGCUUACACACAUACUCAGGAUGACCUCGGUUCUGAAAACCCAUCGGUUGAAUCAUGUAGAUCUCCCGAUCCAGCUCUCCAUGGAGAAAGGCAUUCUUCACGUCCAUCUGCCACAAGUUCCAGCUUUUGUUGGCUGCAAGUGCAAGUAAGACUCGGACGGUUGUAAGUUUUGCCAUUGGACUAAACGUUUCGUCAUAGUUUAGUCCAUAUUGUUGAGAGAAACCACGAGCUACCAAUCGAGCCUUGUACCUCUCGAUUGACCCAUCUAGACGGUGCUUUAUUUUGUAAACCCAUCUGCAGGAUAUGGGUUUCACAUCUUUUGGCUUUGGCACGAGUUCCCAGGUCUGAUUUUGCUCAAGUGUAGUGAUCUCGUCUUUCAUAGCUGUCAUCCACUCAGAACUCUGUGAUGCUUCUUCGAAUGUCUCAGGUUCUAUUCCAGUUGCUUCUUCAACUAUGGCUGCAUUAGCGUAUUUGGGAUUUGGCCUUCGGGUUCUUGUUGACCUUCGUAAUGGAGUUGAUUCUUCCGUUUCACUAGGCACACCUUCUUCAUCUGGUUGUCGAUACACCCCAGAUUGCCAAGGAUUUAGAGUUACUCUUCGUUCGCUAUCACUAUCGCAUAGAUCCCCAGCUGAGCUUAGAUGAAUUUGGACAGUAUGCUCCCCCAUCUUUUGUUGUAGCAUGUCUUCGAAUUCUUUCGAGUCUGGCAGCACUUCUUUUUCUGAGGUCCACCAUGAGGAUGCUUCAUCAAACACCACAUCUCGUGAUGUGUAGCACCUUUCAUUUACUGGAUCACAACACUUCCACCCUUUUCGCUGGUUGUCGUAUCCUACAAAGAUACAUCUGACAGCUUUCUUAUCGAUCUUGCUACGUAGAUGGUCAGGAACAAAUACAUAGCAUACACAGCCGAAUACUCGAAGAUAGCUAACUGUAGGUUUCUUGUUCCACAAUUUCUCAAAGGGUGAAACAAACUCCAACCUUGGUUGAGGAAGCUUGUUGAUGACAUGAGCUGCAGUUCUCAUACCUUCGGCCCAAAAUCUUCCAGGUACAUUCUUCGCAUGUAGCAUACUCCGGUAAAUUUCAGCAAGAUGCCGAUUCUUCCUCUCUGCUACACCAUUUUGUUGUGGCGUAUUAGCACAAGUAUACUGAUGACGUAUUUAGCAUUCCCGUAGGUAUUGAGAAAACUCUCUCGAGCUAUACUCACCCUCGUUGUCUGUGCGCAAGCAACGAAUCUUUUGCUCCACUUCUCCUUCGACUAUCUCUUUGAACUCUUUGAACUUUGAGAAUGCUUCAGAUUUUUCUUUCAUGAAGAAAGCCCAUACAUAUCUGGAGAAAUCAUCAAUGAACGUAACCAUAUACCACAUUCCGCCAAUUGAUGGUUGCUUAACGGGUCCAAACACAUCAGAGUGAAUUAACUCUAAUGGUUUAUUUGCUUUAAACUUCGACUCCUCGUAUGGCAAUUGAUGUGCUUUACCAUAUUGACAUCCCGCGCAAACAAUAUUUGUUCUCACGUCAAGUUGAGGAAGUCCUUUAAGCAUCGACUUCUUCACCAUCACACUUAGCUUGGAAUAAUUAACAUGACCUAGCCGCAUGUGCCACAGAUCUGCCGUCUCAUUCCUUCUUGUCUUGUCUACGUAUGCAGACUCAGCUGACAUCACAUAAACUGACUCCAAUUGUCGUCCCUCCAUCGUAGGCUUUUCUGAGAUCUUUAAGUCUCGGAAUACCUUCACAUUUUGUGGACCAAACAAGACAUAGUGGCCUGAUGAUGUCAAUUGAGCUACGGAUAGCAAAUUUUUCUUCAUUCCUGGAACAUGGUAGACAUCUUGAAGUGGCACUUGGUUGGGACUAUAUCGAGGUGUAACGAUCGCUUUACCGAUGUGAGCUAUCGGUAACCUUGAGUUGUCAGUUGUUACCACCACACGAUUUCCCUUGUACUCAGAACAAUUUUGCAACUUCUGUCUAUCACCCGUCAUGUGAUUUGAGCAGCCUGAGUCUACGAUCCAAUCAUUCUCGUAGUUAAUCUUUUCUGGUGUUGUUACCGUGAGAGCUAAUUCUUCUUCCUCCAUAGCGAGUAAUGCUUCGGCAUCCCAGUUAUCUUCACUAUCUUCUUUAGAACUAGAAGUAGCAAUAUUGCUUUCGGUAGACUUCUUUUUGGACCAACAAUCUCUCUUCAUGUGGCCCUUCUUCCCGCAAUUGUAACAUUCGCCAUCAAACUUUCUAUUACUGUCGCGAUUCUUCGAAGCUCCCCCUGGACGAGAGCCAUUCCCUCCCUGAUGACUUUUUGUCUGUUCACCAGUCUUUCUAGAUCCGCCUUUGUUGUGCUGUCUUGAACCACCUCUGCUUUGGUUGGUGUAAAGCGCUUCCUCUUCACCCUUUAGUGAGACUCCUCCCAUUUUCUUGGCCAUAGCUUCUUGGCCUGUCAGCAAAUUUUCAAACUCAACAAGUGAUGGUUGUGUCGGCCAUCCUUGCACAGCGGCUACAAAGCUUCGGUAUUCGGGUCUCAAGCCAUGGACAAUUAUUCUUUUUAUCCUGGCUUCCCCAAUAGCAGCUAUUGGAUCUAAUUCUGAAAUUUCACGGCAUAUCGACUUCACCUUGUGAAAGUAUUGGGCAAUCGCCAUGUCGCGUUGCGCCAUUGAUAGAAGUUCAUUCUCGAGAAGUUGCAAUUUUGUAUCGUUCCUCUUCGAAAAGAGUGUAGCGAAGGUGUCCCACGCUUCCUUCGGUGAUUUAGCAUCCCGAAUGUGCUCCAACAUUUCUUCUUCUAUUGUGGUCUUUAAAGCAAACAUUGCUUUGCCUGCUUUAAUUUUCCACUUCCGCAAGACGCCGUUAGCAUCUUCCGCUGCCGGUUGUGUAACUUCACUACCACCGACAACCUCCCACAAGUCUUGACCUUGAAGGUAAGACUCUAUACACGUUGCCCACGUGUUAUAGUUUUGGUUGUUGAGCUUUUUGAUUCCUCCAACAACUUGAAGAUCACCCAUCGUAUCGGUAUCGACAAGACUUUGACUACACCGAACAAGCUUGAGUGACUACCGUGCAGAGUAAUACACUACUCUUGACACAAAGAAGCUCCCUCUCAAGGUUUGUGAUAACCCCAGCAAUAAUCUCAAGAAAUCUUUUCUGAUGUGGAAGAUCAGUCAAAACUGCAACCACAGAGCAUACUCGGAAUUUCAAGAGACUUUACAACCAAUGCUCUGAUACCAAAUGUUGAAUCAAAAUAGAGUAAAAACUCUAAUUGAUCAAGAAGAAGAAAAACUCUCUUUAGAAUAAUCUCACAAAAUUGCAAAAGAGAAGAACUCUUAAGAAAACUUUCAAAUGCUUAUAAUAAAGCUUUGAUUGUUAAAUUAUAAAACUCAAAUACAAAUAAGGUAUUUAUAGGUUACAAGAAACAAUCUAAACCACUCAUUAAAAUAACCACAAACUAAUUUAAACCAUUGAAAUUAAACAUGAGAAAAAUACCUAAUUUUCACCUAACUAAAUUGAUGUAAGCAAUGACAUCAAAUUAAUUUGGGUGUGGACUUAUUUGGGCUAAUAUUGACUUCUCAACAUGCUGGUGGCGGAAAUGUGAGAGGGAAUGGUGAGGGUAGAUUUGUAAUUACGAGAAGCGAUUUGCUUGCAUAAUUUAAUGCAUGGAAAUAGAUGUCCCUGACCAAAGAAUGGGACAAUCCAAAUCUCGGCCUCAGCAGCGCUGCAGCAGUAGCAACAGAGCUUGACAUCUUUUUGAAUUAUUUGAUACUUAAUUGUUACUGUUUGCUUUUACCAUCUUUCAUAAAACACUCUUUGUUAUAUAUAAAGGGAUGACUUAAUGGAGAAGUAAGUGUUUUAGUUUUACAGUUUUACUAGUAGGUGAGCUCGGAGUUUGAUAAUUUGAUUGUUAGUUUUAGUUGGUUAGUUAUGAGAAAGCAUCUUUAAGAAAAUUCAUUCCAGUUUCAACUAAAAUUAAUAAUAUUGUUCAAAUUAAUUACUCGAUAAAUAAAUAAUUAGAGAUAAAUUUAUCCCUAAUCUCACAUUUAUAAAAUAAGGAUUGAAAUAAGUUUUUGUGGGUUCGAACUCAAGCCCUCAAGUCGAGCGGCUGGAUCUUGACUACUUUGACUUAAUUAUUAUUAUUAUUAUAUAUAUAUAUAUAUAUUUUUUUUUUCAUUCUGUCACGGAACAUCUUUUGUUAUAUAAUGAAGAAGAUAAGUUGACGAAGAAGAGUUCUACUUUUACUAGUAGAUGAGCUUUGAGUUGACAACGUUAGUUUUAGUUAGUGAAAUAUCUACCAUCCAAAUCAACGUUCUUUAGACUAUUAUUCAAGUGAGAUGUCUGAGUAACAUACGCUUGAGUUGGUCGGUGCCUGGCAAUUCGUGUGAUACAUGAAACCAACCGAUAUGAAAACCAAAUCAAGUUGGUAGGAUUACAUUAAUUUAAAUUAACUUUCAAGUUCUAAUAUUAUAAGAUAAAUAAAUAGCAUAAAAUAAUUUUUAUUUUCAAGUAAAUAUGUUUAUCGUUUAAAAAUUAUUUUUUCUUGCGGUAAAUGCAACACUAAAUAAGGAGUGAAUAGGGUAAUUUGUAGGGUAUACCCCCACCUUUUAUUUCAUUUCAUUAUUAAAAAAUAAAGGCUUGAUUCAACAUUCAAGUAAAAUUAACAAUUCCAUGAUAAAAUUGCUUGAGAAUAAGAAUUAAAAUAAAAAAAGAAAACAGCAACUCAAAAACGACAUACAAAUACCGCAUAGAGGUUUUUCGUCGCAAGAUAUUUUUGGGUUGAGCAACACUUGUAUAACAGAGCAUACAGACUGAAUGACGGUGAGAAUAAGAAGGAAAACGGCGCCACACACCGAAAUGCCAGCCCAUGGAGUAUUGAAGUAAUUUUGUUUCAAGUUUGCCCUCCAUUUGUAGCACGUUCUUUUGCAGUGAUCAUUCAAUCCUUUGCAUAGCCCAGAAAAAUAGAAGCUAUCAGACAGCAGAGUAGUACCUCUAGAAAGGUUAUUUAUAAGCAUUGACGCAGUCUCUUUAUCCGGCAACCGGUUCUCAAUGAUUCCGUUCUGAACAAGCAACUCGACGUCCUUCGCUGUGUUCACGAGAUGAUGAAUAAGGAACACAUAAUCAUUUAUGUAAUUCUCUGAGUAAUGCCGUUGUUCAAAGGCAAUGAGAUUACGAAAUAAGGAUUCCGUUUCCAGCUGUAGCUUCAGUUUCGGAAUAUGCAAUGUCCUGUUUUUGAAUUCUAUGGCGAACAAAUCAUUGCUCUUGCUCAAACUGAAGUGGACUCCAGCUUGGUGGAGAUCAGUCACACUUGGUGCGGUUUUGCCUUUGUGGUAUUGCUGACCUUCUUGUUUUUCCUGAUUCCUCGAUGAUGGUAGAUGACAAAUCCUUAGAAAAUCAAGGAAAUGCUCGACCCUAACCUCAGUGUAAGGAGGGAAUUUUUGCUGAUUACCUUGUACUGCCUCUAAACCCUUGAAAUACUCGUAUGUGACUGUGAUGAUGGUUGGAUUUUCAUGUUGGUCGGGGAUUUCAAUAGCAAAAAGAUCCUCAAGAAUGAAGAAAGGAAGCUGAUUCUCAAGCAACCACAUAUCAUACCAUAUAUCCUCUAUUAAAUAGGGUUUAAGAAAUAUAUAAUCAUCUUUUUUUUGAAGUUGACGGAAAUGAUGCCUCAAUAAGAGUUCAAUGAUGAAGGCAGCAUCCAGCAGAAUCAUUUCAACAAAUUUAUCACUACUUAGUUCGACUUUUUCUGCAUAAGAACCUCGUAAUUCUGCUUCUCUGAGCUUUAUAAUUUGAACAAACUCGUCAAAGCUUAUUUUGGUCCGUUGAAGAAAGUAACGCAGGUACCGCUGUUUAUGUUCUUCCAUGAACUGUAAGUUUGCUUUGCCAUGGUGAAGAGGGCCAAUUGAGACUACCUGAGCUGUAUAUGCCUUUUCAUUUAUCUGACGUAAUCGCUCCGGAACUCUGUAGAUGCAGCAGUUUGAGGGCAAUGGUGAUAAUUUUUCCAACUUAACUUGCAAGCACUCUUCCAUGUUAUAAACUGAAAACAUGGCGCGAAAUUUGAUCAAUUCACUAGUUUAUAUAAUAUUCUUGAACCUCAUCUUAAGCAAAGCAACAAAAGCCUUCACUGUUUCUUAACAACUUUAUUGCUCUAACACAUAGCAUAACAUUUUUAAAUUUGCAUAAAGCACAAUAGUACUUUAGUUUGUAACAACAGCACAGAUAAUAAAUAGCAUUUUAUAGCUUUAACAAAAGCAUACAAAAUUCUUAAACCUUGUUUCAAGCAAUUCAUUAAUGCCACAAGGAUGUCUUUUUGCUUCCUACAGUUUUUAUUGAAAUUCAUAUAUUCUUCUUUAUCAAAUUAAGUAAUUUUCCUUUUUCAAAAAAUCAAGAAGGUUUCGACUGCAUGGAAAUACAGCACACAAUUACUACUAUUCCCGGAGUAAGAAAUUCAUAAAUGCAAUAUAAACAUACAUUUUCAUAAGACAUCAGAAUCAAAGAAUCAUCAAUGCAUCAAAUCUGUACACCCAAAAAAGUUGAAAGCACCAAGAGAAAAUUAUACCGCAUGGACCCUUUACAACCCUUAUAACGAGUUCAGACAGCUACAAUGUGCAAUACAAAAUUUCCCAAUACUAUUUAGAACAAAGUCUAGAAAACAAAACUUAUAUAUUGUACAAAAUCAUGAAAACCAGAAAUGACAAAAAACCUGCAAAUGUAAUUUUUGGGUUUCUUCAACAUAUCUUCCAUCCAAAUCAAACAAGAAUCGAUAAAUCAACAACAUUCAUCUUUAAAUGACAUAUUACCACAAUAAAAUUGUCAACCAAGCCUCAUAUAAACCUUUUUUGUGUUUUGUGGUAAAUAUAUUUGUUAUUCUCUAAGAAUACUAGGGAAAAAAGAAACCCACUUUCUUAAUCAAGAAUCAAAUAAUAUAUAUUUAUCUAAGCUGAAGUAAGUCUUCGGUUUGAUGAAAUAGCUUGCAAUGUGAUUUAGAUUGGAAAGGAAGUUGAUUUUUGCUGGUUGAGAGAGAGAGAUUUGAGACUUAAGAGUGUUGCUAAUCUUCGAUCGUGUAAACAAGGGUAACUGGGUCAUAGUUCAAAAUAAGGGUCCAAAAUUUACUAAAGCUAUUAAGGAGCCCAAAACUCAUAAUGGCUUGCCCAAAAUAAAUAAAAUUUUCGAGCAUUAAGUUUUUGUUUCUUCUUGAGAUUUCCUUGCCGUACUUACCCAUAUUUCGAUAUUGCCUCCAAGUAAACUUAUAUAUAUUGAUUAACAAUAUAAACAAGCACUAUGAAGUUUUAGGCAUGAAAGAACAUUAGGAUUGAAAUGAAAACCAUCUAUUUAAGUAACAAAUUCUUCUGAUAAUUUGAUGCUUAAUUUAGAGCAGAGAUGACAUAUCAAUCACGUUAUGAUGUGGAAGUUAUGAUUAUAUUCAUCUUAAGAAUAAGAUCUUUCAGACACUGGCAGAUUAGUAUAAAAAAUACUCAGCAUAAGACCUACAAACUAGAAAUCACGCACCAAUUAUUGAACUCAGCACAUAAGUUGAUCUUUUAUAAGCUAUAAAACAAAUCUGCUAUAACAUAAGAAAGUGGGAUUUAUCACCAGACAAGUAUUUUGGUGAAAUUCAAGCUGACGGAAGGAUAUCCAAAGCAACCUCCUUAAGGGAAGGCAUCACUUCCUGCUGAUGCAAACAUGUAUAUUUAUUACUCACUUUCUUGAGGACCUUCUAGGAACCUGGGCAGCACCUAACAGAAAGUGGAAAAGAAUAAAAUGUAAAAUAUAAGUUAAACAGCAGGAAAACAGUGAGUGAUACUAGGCAAGCAUUAAUAUGUUGCCGCAGGAAAAGUGUCAGUAACUAGCUAGCAAACCUGAAAAGGGUUCCUCCAUUGUGACCCUUAAAAUUGUGAAUGUAAAAUAUGGUCUCCAUCACAGGAAAAAGUGUUUUGGAUAGUGCAGCCAGCUUAGGGUAGAAGAAUGACGGAUAAUCUUUAGCUCAUUUAAGGAAAUCCUCUCUGAUCCUUUCAUUGCACAUUCCAAAACAACUCUACUACAACCAAGUUACCAAUUCUUUUUGUUAAGUCAUUGUUAUUUGUUAAAAAAAAAAAAUCUUCCUUGCAACAUUUUAUUGAAAGAUAUAACAUGAUCAUCCCUACUAAUUCCCUUUUAGAUUUCUGUGAGUGAAUUUCAAAUUAUUGUAUUCAAAAAUAGAAGCAAAAGACCCACUUUACUUUCAAUUUCUGCAACAAGAUACCAAUUGAAGGACCAAAAAGUUGUAAACAACCAAUUCAAUGGGUGGGCAUCUAGAAACUGCUAUAUAGCAUCAAGAUCAUACUAAAUUUACAGAAAGUACGAUAAUAAUGAAAGAAUGGUGAAGGAUACACCCAGACCUUAUCCGGUCAAGUUCUCCAUUGAAUAUAAUCAGUUUCCGGGCAGUAUUGAAGACAACUUCUUUGUAAAGCUCUUCAACGACAAGCAUUUCUACAAGACAAAAGAAAAGCAAAAUUAAUUACCUUAAGGAAUGAAUAUCAAUGAGAAGACAACGUGUAAGACUACCAUUGACAUUAAAAUAUGGAUACGCGACUAGAAACAAUUCAUCUUCCGGCUUCACACGGUCUGCCUUUUUAACCUUCUCAGUGAAUCCAAAAUCCUCAAAGAAUGAAGGUUUUGUUAGAUAGUCCAACUUAAAUGAUGAUCCUUCAAAGACCUAUUUUCUUGCAAAUUUGACUUCAUUUGCCUCUGGGAAAAACUAAAAACCAAAUGACAGACCAAGAUCACAAAACGAAUCAUGAACAUAGAUAUCAGAUAAUCAGAAAUGGGCAUUAAACAGACUACUAACAAAUAGGAAAUGCAUACAGAAAACAUUAUUCAUACACCUUAUGCACAUGAAAUAUAUAUGCAGUGGGAUCCUCUUGUGAAUUUAGUUUAUAUCCUAAAAUGAGACAAUGAACAAUUGGAUGCCAUCUAAGGGCUAACAUUUGUUUGAUUAUUAUAUGAAAAAAAAAAACAAAACAGAGUUGAUUGAUGGCCUUUGAUGGAUUGCCUACACUCCUAAAGUGCAGAGAGCCUGAUUAAUUGCUUUACCUGCCCCCCACACACACACUUGAUUUUAUUAUCUCUCUUUUCAAAUAUAUAAUCAUUGCCUGUCUUUCAUCCUGAUCCAGCUCUCCUUCCAGGCACCAGCUGUGUUUUCUUCAAUUCAGUGAAGCAUUCACUUUCAGGUAAGAAUAAACUUGUCCUUCCUCAAAAAUCAGCUUCUCACCAUGAAGCUUUCUUUUUCAAAACAAUUACUAGUCUAGCAUAAUGCAUCUAAUUGAAGACAACUCAGAAUUGAAAAAGCCAUACUUUAAUGUCUGCUGUUGGGACCUCAAGACCAGGAAAAAAAAGCUUCUUUCUAACUGUUGGAUUAACAAGUAGAAAUAGCUUUUUUCUGAAGGACCCAACAUUGCAUUGAAAAAUUCAACAAAAGGACUGGCGUCAUAUUUAGUCCUGCUAGAAUUUUGUGCACUUAACACAAUGGUUAAUAAUUGGCCCAGCAGACACUUUGUCGAACUACUGGCAAACCUUGACUGUGGAAAUGCAUAUUUCAAAUGUUGGCAGACUCUAGCUUCUUGAUGUACUGUUGAUAAAAAUGCCUAUUUCAAAAGUUGGCAGGCUCAAACUGCCGAGACUUUGGUUUCUUACAUUUCAAACCCACAAAUAAAACUUUGGCAGAACCCCAGAAAGAGCUACACCUCCCAAAUUUGAUGACAUAUGAAGAGACCAUGCCUAGUGCUUGGUUCGGCAAAUGAGUAAGUUUGAAAUAAAUUGAGGGAAACCUUUCCCACAGAGAGUCAUUUUGAAGGUUACAAUUUGAAGACUUUGUCCCCUGUCGCCCGUAACCUUCUUUGAUCUCUUUUCUUAGUCAUGAAUAAUCAAACAUGUGUUAGUGGUUGGAUGCAAUCCACUCGCUGACAUCUCAUGUCCACAAUCAAUCAACCAUAUUUUAAUAGAAAUGGAAACAUUUUAAUUAAAAAAGAAUGAGAUAGGAACAAAAUCAAGCUUGGCAGACAUGGGUCUAUGAGAUUUUAAAGAUGCUUGGUGAAAGUCGUAUUCAAGAGUUCAACAAUCAGUUCCAUCACCUAUGGCAAAGUAACCACCGCAACUAAAGCAAUUACAAAACAUCAAGAAGCUUGAACUUGGCAAGAGGUCUCAUUAACAGUAUACCUCAGAAAUUAAGACAGAAUUAAAGUGCAAGCUUUUGGAUUUAUUUAAACACUGAAAAUAAUAUGGGUAGAAGCUCCUAUGGUCACAGCAAACAAUUACAAAGCACAAAACCCAAAAAACAGAUAUGCAAAAAGCUGCAAAAGAACAUUAUUAGCAAUUGACAUCUGCUUUUGCUCAGACAAAGGUUCUCAUAACAAAGGACUUAGUGAUUAUCUGUCAUAUGUUUAUGUUAAGGGGAAAAAAGAAGUUUGUUUUAGUCAAUCUCAUGUCUAUUGGCAUUCAUAAGGAGCCCAAAAAUAAAAGAAAAAAUAAAGAGUUAGUAGGUGUUUCUUGCAACACAAAGAAAAUUUAUCAUCCAUGAAAAACUUAGUAUGGAAAAAGCUAACUCAUUUAUCUGCCAAUGCAGAAAAACUUGUUGUCUACCCACUAAGGACCCACCAUUGGCAGGUCUGAUGGAUCCCAUGGAUGGGAACCACAAAUAUUUUAUUCUAAAUGACAUGGGUAUUGCACCCAUAUCAUUUAAUUUGUAGAUUCCACUGAUGGAACUCAUCAAACUUGCCAAAUGGCAAGUCCUCCGUGGGUAGGCGCAUCACUUCAGCAUCCUUCUCCACCGAUGACCAAAUCUGGACUCAUUUAAAAAGAAUACAAAGCAAACUAACUGACAAAAAUUGCAUAUAGAGGUCUAGGAGCCAAAUCAAUGUUGUUAACUCAUCCAAUUAAUACAUUCUCUUAGAGGUCAUACCUUGGUAACUCAUUUCAAAAGAAAUUAAAAGAAAAAUGACUGCACAAAUUGUACUGAGCUCAAGAAGACCUGUUCAAGGUGUUCACUUGUCCAACUAAUAAAAGUCAUCAAGGAUUGUAUCAGGGACUUGGGACCAAUCCUGCCUUAACGAGAGAAAGGGAAUUUAGGAUGAAGAAGAUAACCUCUUUUCCUAGAGCAAAUUAAGCUGGUAAAAUCUUGGCAGUUGCACUUGGGGCAGAAAUUAGUUCCACCUUGGUUUACAGGACAGAAAUUCGUCAUAUGCAUGUAUUUAUUUAUAUUUUAUACACAUACGCAUACAUGUACACACAAACACUACCUUCACUUUGAAGAAAAGAUUAAAAUAACACUGCUCACAUACACAAUACUUACUAUUCUAGUUCGUGUGACUUUCUCCGGAGUCACAAAUAGGUCAAAGAAUUCGCGUAUUAACCGCAUACUUCCAGUCAUUUCUAUUCCUCCUUCACCAUCACCUUUCCCACAAUUACAAAAAGUGAGAGGUAGUAACCAACAUAUUUGGGUUGUUCUUCGGUAAGGGGUGGGAGGUAAGGGUUAGUUGUGGAGGGCACCUGGUACAGAAUCAAGGCCAGCUGUUGGGAAUUUGAUCUCCUGUAACAUAUACUUGUUCAUCAUAAACUAUAUACUUAUUCUGCAGUCGAUGUGGGCAUAUAGCUCUUCAAUUAUCCAGUAAUAACUCACCAUCAACUUCCUGCCAUCCUUCAUGGCUAAUUCAGCAGCUAUUUUUGCCUGUUUAAAGGGCAAAAGCCCAAACUAAGCAGAUGCUCCUACUCCGAUACUUAUUAUCUAACUACUACAGAACAGAUGAUACACAUCAAGUUGUGUCAAGAGAGACACCAAGUUGUGUUUUCCAAGAGGUUCCAAAGAGGUUUUGUGUUAGAGUGCAAUUUAUGCACUAGUUUUGAAUUGUUUACUUCCUUAAUAUCGAUGUUUUGCACUUAAUAAUAGUGAUUUACUUGUGUUUUAUUUUUAUAGGUGCAAUUAUAUUGAUUGGUGCAAAAAUUGAGCUACAAGACGAUGUUUAAGGAUGAUUGUUCUCUUGGAGAAAUUAUGAGCGUCAGAAGAACUUUGUUGAUAAGGCGUGGGCGCGUGCUGUCAACUACGGACCUGCAGUUUUUAGUUUAACGUGUUUUGUAUUUUUGGUUAUUUUUAUAAUUACGAAUUUAAUAUUUCAGAUAUUAGUAUUUUAUUUUAAAUAGAACUCUAGAGGAGAAGAGAGAGAGAGUAUUUAAGGGAAGAAUCUAUUGUGAAAAAAGGGAGAUUUUUGGAAAAGAAAGAAACCCUAGAUCUAAAUUUUUCUCUUCUCUCCAUGAAGAACUAAAUCUAUUAUUCUGUUUGAAGGUUAAUGAAGCUUUUAUUCAUCACUACUGUGAGAUCUUUCUUAUGCUUUAAUUGUUUUAUUGCUUUUUGGGUAUUUGUUUAUUCUCUGAAUUAUUUUCAUGAUUAUGUUUGUUAAUUAGAUAAUUGGCUACUAUUUAAUUAUCAACUUAAUCUAUUGUCAAUUAAAGGAUUCAUCGUAUGAAGAUUUUAAUGUUUGUGACAAAUAACAUAGCAGAGAGUUGUGUUGUGAGAAUAAACAAUCUAAUUUAAAUGAACCAUCGUAUGUGUUUGUUGAUUAGGAUUUGGGUCUCUCUGGUUUUUCAAGCUGUCAAUUGAUUAAAUCCUAUGAUCGUAUCUAGGGUUAUCUAUUGAUUAGGGAAAUAACCAACGGUCAUACCUUGGUUAUCGACUAAUUAAGGAGAUAUUGGCUAUUAGAGGGUCUCAGUAGCUAUAACCGGUCUAUUCAUAAGUAGUAAUAAUUUAUAUUUGAAUCAAUGAUCAGUAGUCGAAUCAAGCUGAGUUAAUUCCUUCAACCAGAGCUUUCUCCAAUUUGAAUUACAACUUUAAUUUGCAUUCUUGUUAUUUUAAUUUGAUUGUUAUUAUUGUCACAAAACCCUCAUUUUAUAUUUUACGUUUUAAAAGGAUUUAAAUAAUUACCGAUCUCUGUGGACACGACUUUGCUCAAUCACUAUACACAAUUUAUUUAGAGUAGGUAUUUAUUUUUGUUGGCUUCGACAACCUUCAAAUUUUGGCGCCGUUGCCGGGGAUUGGUGUCAUUUAUUUAAUCCUUUUUACGUUUUACUUGGUGUAUGGUUCGUUCUUCUUGUACAGGUACACUUUCGUUUGAUCCUUAAAUUGAGAAGACAGCUCGCCAGCUGAGACAGCAGACGAAGCGAGCUAAGCAACGACACUCAUCGCCUUGCUUUCUGAAACAGAUACGGUGCCUGAUUUAGUUGAAUCAUCAAGCGAUUUAGAAGAACAAGUGAUGGAUAGAGCUGCACCUGUAGAAAGAACUCUUAGAGAGUUAGCCGAACCAGACUUGAAUCAGCAACCACUCUACAUUCAAUAUGUAGACUUGGAGGUAAAUUUUGAAUUAAAGUCUGGUCUUAUUCAUUUAUUACCCAAGUUUCAUGGUUUUGCAGGUGAAGAUCCUCAUAAACAUCUCAAGGAGUUUCAUGUUAUGCGUUCAAGUAUGAGGCCACAAGGCGUGACUGAAGAGCAAAUUAAGUUGUGUGCUUUUCCUUUCUCUUUAGAUGGGCUAGCUAAAGACUGGUUGUAUUACUGUUAGAGUGCAACUUAGCAUAUAAUUUUUUAGGCAAGAAAGAUCACUCAGGAGUUUUCUCUAAAACUGAAUUUUAUUUUAUCUGGUGCAUGUUAAAUGAUGUGAGGCCUAAUUUAGGUUUUUGGUUAGCAGAUCAAUUUCAAAGUGUGCUUAAACGGUAUAGGACUUUAUUUCUUGGUCCAUACAUUACUCUGUUAGCUAUAAACCUAUGUGUGCUUGAUCCUGACAAUAAUGAUUUGCAUCCUGCUUGCAAAAAAGAAUUUUUGGAUAUGUUUAUGUUUGAAAGAACAGGUGUGGUCGAAUUCAAGGAGCGGAGAUUUCAGUUUACUAAACCAGGGCCCACUCAACCUCCGAAGAAGCUUUAUGCUAGGAGUGGUGCUACCUCUGAUGACGAGUUUGACGACGACACUGCUGCCCCGCCAACUAUUCCUUCUACAUCCGCACCACCUUUGAGCAUUCAGUUAGAGAAAAUGGAGCACAAGCUGAAUAAGAUGGAGCAAAAUUUGGCCACAUACUUCGAGAAUGUGGGAUUUACCUCACCAUUUCCGCCAAGCCAAUAGACGUUAUGUGGAUCAAAGCUCACAAUUCAGGGAAGUUUUUUUUGCCUUUAAUCUUUUAUCCUUACGCUUUAAUUUUUAUGUGAGCUUUGAUUAUCUUACAUUGGGGACAAUGUAAGUUCUUGGUGUGGGGGAGGGAUUUUUGCAUUAUUGAUGUCUGGAAUUAUUAUUUUCACUCUACUCAUCUAUUUUCACUCUACUCGUCCUUAAAUGAUUUUGGAGUUAGUAUGCUUCAUAUAUUAUUAAUUUCCUUUUCCUUUCUCUCUCACUACUCUUUUCCCAUCUAUCUCAAAUUAUUUACAUCUAUUUUUUUUUCUAUCAUACUCUUUCAUCACUUACAUUUUAUCUUUCAUUUUUUUACUACAUACAUCUUUCUCGCUUAUUAUUUUUUUACCUUUCUUUUUAUAUCUCACUCAUACCUUCUUCUCAUUCUACACCACUCUUGAUGGUUGAUUCAUUUGAAGAGUGUACAUGAUUUGAUGGCAAAUUUACCAACUUUGUGAGGAUUUGAGCCUGUGAGCAACCACUUUGCUCUAAUUAUUUUUGUUAUGUGAAUAUCAAUCUUAGUUUGUAUAUUCUAGAACUUGCUUUGUUAAGCAUGUUGAAGCCACAUUACGGGAUUUUAUGCAUUAAAAUGAUAAGGGCAAACCAUUUACCAUUUUUCUAUUCUCGCAUUUUCUUUUUUCUCUACCCGAAGACCUUUAUUUGCUACCUUUGUUUGAGCCUUAACCAUUACCCAUCUAAUUCUUUCCAUCUACUUAACCAUUUUUCUUCUUUUUGAGCCUAAUUUAAGGAGAUAUUUGGACUCAUUGUGUGGAUAUAUUUUGUUGCUUUUUCUACCUUGUAUUAAAGUUUCUCAAUUAGAUCAACAAGCAUUAUGCUUGAAUUAAAUUGUGCAAGGUUCGUUUCUUUUGUUUGAUUAAAAAAAAACAACAAAAAAAAGGAAAAAGAAAAAAAAGUGAAAAAAAAAUCGAAAAAAAAAAUUGAAAAAAAAGGUUUACAUUCUUGGUGACUUGAGUAGAAAUAAGCAUUUUGAUAUCAUAAGUUCAUUCAAUGAGUUCAUUCUUCUCAUUUUGAUCUCUUUUUCUUUCAUAAACCUUUCUUUUUUAUUUAACCUAUUUAACUCCAUUACAACCCUUUUAAGACCCUUAAUUUUUUGCAUUUUAUUUAUGUUUUAUGGAUUGAGAUGUGAUAUAUGAGCAAGCUUAUGGUAAUAGCAUUCUUUGAUUUGAUUUGAGUGAAUAAAUGACACCCUAAACACUUUGAGUGCAUGGAGUGAAGUCAAUGAGAGGGCUAUUAAAUCUUGUUGCACUUGAAUUUUGAAUGGAUCUUCUUGGUGGUUGAAUGUUCUUAUUCUAUCUUAUGAGAUUCUAUGCUUUAAAAUCCUUGCCUCUCGAAUGUUGAUCGACUUAAAUUCUUGAGGUAUGCUUGCUUAAAAUUGUUUUUGGAUGAGUUGAGAUGAAAAUUGAGUGGAGAUUUGGGAUUAGUCUUGAGUUAUAUGCUUGAGGACAAGCAUCAUCUUGGUGUGGGGAAUUUGUUAGAGUGCAAUUUAUGCACUAGUUUUGCAUUGUUUACUUCCCUUAAUAUCGAUGUUUUGCACUUAAUAAUAAUGAUUUACUUGUGUUUUACUUUUGUAGGUGCAAUUCUAUUGAUUCUUGAUAAAAUUGAGUUAUACGAUGAUGUUUAAAGAUGAUUGUUCUCUUGGAGAAAUUUAGAGAGUCAUAAGAACUUUGUUGAUACGGCGUGGGUUCUUGCUGUCAACUGCGGACCUGCAGUUUUUAGUUUAACAUGUUUUGUAUUUUUGGUUAUUUUUGUAAUUAUGAAUUUAAUAUUUCAGAUAUUAGUAUUUUAUUUUAAAUAGAACUCUAAAAGAGAAGAGUGAGAGAGUAUUUAAGGGAGGAAUCUAUUGUGAAAAAGGAUUUGGAUUGGAGAAAAAGAAAGAAACCCUAGAUCUAAUUUUUCUCUUCUCUCUAGGAAGAACUAAACUUAUUUUUCUGGUUGAAGGUUAAUAAAGCUUUGAUUCAUCACUACUGUGAGAUCUUUCUUAUGCUUUAGUUGUUUUAUUACUCUUUGGGUAUUUGUUUAUUCUCUGAAUUAGUUUCAUGAUUAUGUUUGUUAAUUAGGUAAUUGGCCACUAUUUAAUUAUCAACUUAAUCUAUUGUCAAUUAAAGGAUUCAUCGUAUGAAGAUUUUAAUGUUUGUGACAAAUAACAUAGUAGUGAGUUGUGUUAUGAGAAUAAACAAUCUAAUUUAAAUGAAUCAUCAUAUGUGUUGAUUAGGAUUUGGGUCUCUCUUGUUUUUCAGGCUGUCAAUUGAUUAAAUCCUAUGAUCGUAUCUAGGGUUGUCUAUUGAUUAGGGAAAUAUCCAACGGUCGUACCUUGGUUAUUGACUAUUUAAGGAGAGAUUGGCAAUUAGAGGGUCUCAAUAGCUAUAACCGGUCUAUUCAUAAGUAAUAAUAAUCUAUAUUUGAAUCAAUGAUCAGUAGUCAAAUCAAGCUGAGUUAAUUUCUUCAACCAGAGCUUUCUCCAAUUUGAAUUACAACUUUAAUUUGCAUUCUUGUUAUUUUAAUUUGAUUUUUAUUAUUGUCAACAAAACCCCCAUUUUAUGUUUUACGUUUUAAAAGGAUUUAAAUAAUUACCGAUCUCUAUGGACACGACCCUGCUCAAUCACUAUACACAAUUUAUUUAGAGUAGUAAUUUAUUUUUGUUGGCUUCGACAACCAUCAAUUACUUGCCACCUGGAUCGAUUACAACAUGGAAUGGUUUGAAGAAGCAGUUCCUUGAGAAGUACUUUCCUGUUGUAAGAGCUGCCAACAUCAGAAAAGUCAUUUGUGGGAUCAGACAACUUCUUGGGGAGACUUUGUAUGAGUAUUGGGAGCGAUUCAAACAAUUGUGUGCCAGCUGUCCUCAGCAUCAGAUUUCUGAUCAACUUCUUAUUUAAUAUUUUUACGAAGGACUGUCAUUGAUGGACAGGAGUAUGAUAGAUGCUGCUAGUGGAGGUGUGUUGGUGAACAAGACCCCUACUCAAGCAAGGGAGUUGAUUGCAAAUAUGGCUGCCAAUGCACAACAAUGUGGCAGCAGGUAAGAUCUCACUUCAAGGAAGGUGAAUUAGGUAAAUAUUUCUUCUGUUGAACAACGUUUAGAUAAACUUACUUCUCUUGUGGAAAAGUUUGUUGUAGGUAAUGUGCAACAGGUGAAGACUUGUGGCAUUUGUUACAAUAUGGGUCAUUCAACCGAUAUGUGUCCUACAUUUCAAGAAGAACCCGUUGAACAAACCAAUGCAGUUAGAGGAUUUCCAGGCAUGCCUUAGAGGAGGUAUGAUCCUUAUACACAAACAUACAAUCCGGGAUGGAAGGAUCAUCCCAACUUCAGCUAUGGAGUUAGACCAUCAUGAUUCCCGCAACAGUAUCCACCAAGACAACCAGCACCUCCACAGUCAAACUCCAAGUCAGGUAUAUCUCUUGAAGAAAUUGUUAAAUCACUUGUGACUAACACUCAACAAUUUCAACAGGCAACUACAGCAAGCAUUCAGAAUUUGGAGAACCAAAUGAGUCAAUUGGCGACUACAGUGAGCCGUCUGGAGUCUCAAGUAUUAGGGAGAUUGCCUUCACAAUCUGAGGUGAAUCCAAAGUAAAACGUUAGUGCUGUCAUCCUUAGAAGAGGGAAGGAGUUGCAAGAUCCCAGUAAGAAAGUGACAAAGCAUGUAGAAGAUGAGUUUGAGAAGAAUGAAUUGAUGCCUAAAUCUCAAGAUGCGCAACCCACCAAAGCGAAACCCCUACCUAUUGUGAUACCUCCUCCUUUCCUAAGCCGGUUUGCAAAAUCCAAGAAGGAGGAACAAGAGAAAGACAUCCUUGAGACAUUUCGCAAGGUUAAGGUAAAUAUUCCUUUAUUAGAUGCUAUAAAACAAAUACCUCGAUAUGCUAAAAUCCUUAAGGAACUAUGCACCUCCAAGAGAAAAGUAAGAGGAGAUGAAAAAGUUCACAUGGGGGAGAAUGUUUCAGCAAUUCUCCAAAAGAAACUACCUCCUAAGUGCAAGGAUCCAGGUAUGUUUACUAUCCCUUGUAAAAUUGGUAGUGUUAGAGUUGAAAAUGCUAUGUUAGAUCUAUGAGCUUUUAUUAAUGUCAUGCCUCGUUCCAUUUAUUCAUCUUUGAAUGUUGGGCCAUUAAAAGAAACUGGCGUGAUAAUUCAACUAGCUGAUAGGUCUAAUGUAUAUCCUGAUGGGGUAUUAGAAGAUGUUUUAGUACAAGUUAAUGAGUUGGUUUUUCCUGCUGAUUUUUAUGUACUUGAUAUGGAAGAGGAUAACUCCUCUAAUUCUGUCCCAAUUUUGCUAGGAAGACCUUUUCUUAAGACUGCUAGGACUAAAAUGGAUGUACAUAAAGGGACUCUCACUAUGGAGUUUGAUGGAGAGGUUAUAGAAUUCAAUAUGAAUGAUGCCAUGAAAUAUCCUAGUGAAGAACAUUCGGUAUUUUCUGUGGAUGUUAUUAACCCUAUAGUGCAGGAAGUUUUUUACAAGAAAAAGACGAAGAUAUUUCAUGAUAGAAUGAUUUUGAGAAAGGAGUUCUUUGUUGGUCAAAAAGUUCUUCUUUUUCAUUCUGAGCUUAAACUUUUUCCGGGUAAAUUACGUCCUUGCUGGGUUGGACCUUUUAUUGUUACUAAUGUUUUUCCUCAUGGUGCAGUUGAGAUUCAGAGUUCGACCUCUGACAAAGUUUUUAAGGUUAAUGGUCAUCACUUAAAACCUUUUUAUGAAGGUUUUUCGGUGAAUAUUGUGGAGAAUGUGGCUCUCGAGAGUCUCAAUUAUGGAGAUUGAUGCAUAAACGUGUCUAGCCAAAGACAUAAAACAAAGGCGCUUUUUGGGAGGCAACCCAAAUGAUUUAUUUAUUUUGGUUUUUGUUAUAUCUUCUUUUAGUUUUGAUUCAGAUUAUUUUUUGAAAAAAAAUAAUGUGUUUGCUUAUUUUGGUCAGAAGAAAAUUUUUGAUAAGGCGUGCUCACGUCUUAACUAAUAAGUACUUCUGUGAUUUUUAAAGUAAAAUGGUUUUAAGGCGUGCCCACGUGCUUAUUAGAAAAGUACUUCUGAAUUUUUUUUUAGUGUCUCAAAGUGAUUCAUCACUAAAAAAAAAUGAAAAAAAAAAUUAUUUAUUUAUUUAUUGAUUUGAAAAUUAAAAAAAAAAGAAAAAAAGAGUUUUUUUCUUCUUUUUCUUCUUUUCUUUCUUAUAUAUAUUUAUUUAUUUUAAAAAAUAAAAAAUCACUAUUCACAAAUCCCUAAUUCAAAAAUUACUGUUGAUUAUCGUUUUCCAGCAGCGCGCCUCGGCUCCAGCCUUCACUGAGCAACCAGCAGCAGCAGACGAGCACGCUCAGCCCCAGCCGCAGCGCGCAGCAUCAGCCCUAGCCGCAGCACACAGCAUCAGUCCCAACCGUAGCGCGCAACGUAACGCAACCAGCGUCACCAGCGCAGUAGAACCAACCCCAACCCGUGCAUCAAGCUACAGCCGAGCAGCAAUCGUCCGCAACCCGCCUACGCACUGUAUUCCAACCGGGUAAAUCGAAAUCCGUGAGUGCAAUUAUUAUAACAAUGCCGAAGAGGAAAGCAUCAACUUCCAAGUCAUCUAAAAAGACACCCGUCGCAAAGAAGUCCAAGAUUGCCGCUCCCACUACGGUUCCAUGGAACACAGUUUCAGAUUCACGCCAAGCCGUGAGACAAAGAACGAAACAUGGAAAGGGCAUGAGUGUUUUACUACUUGCGGAAUCCAAUCUUGGAGGGGGCCUCGCAUUCACGACUCAACAAGAGAAAGAAAGGUACAAAGAUAUUUCCAAGCAAAAAAUACUUCCAGCUAAGUAUAUUCAUUACCCGACUCUUGAAAAAUUGAAUGUUAAGGAUAAUUUUGAUUCUUUGAUAGAUAAGAUUGGUUUGCGUAAGUUUGUUGAUGUUGAUUGUUUGAGUUAUGUUGAGUUGAUUAGGGAGUUUUAUGCUACUUUUCAAUUUAAUAUACCGUAUGAUUUUACUUUGCAUACCCCGGAUAUUAUAAAGUUUAGGUUAAUGGGAUGGAGUUUUUCACACUCGAUCAUAGAUUUUAACCUAGCUUUAGGAUUCAUUGAUGAUGAUUAUUCUUCUAGUGAUGCAUAUUUAGGAACAACUUGUGACUUUAGCGAAAAUUUUGAGCCUUAUGGUCUUUGGCGUAAUUUAUCUGUUGAUCACAAUGCCUAUAACCCAAGUAAAUCAAUGAGUUCUUUCUUACGUGACCCUGUUUUGAAAUGUGUGCAUCGAUUCUUAGCAUAUAAUUUUUUAGGAAAGAAAGAUCACUCAGGAGUUUUCUCUAAAACUGAAUUUUAUUUUAUCUGGUUUAUGUUAAAUGAUGUGAGGCCUAAUUUAGGUUUUUGGUUAGUAGAUCAAUUUCAAAGUGUGCUUAAACGGUAUAGGACUUUAUUUCUUGGUCCAUACAUUACUCGGUUAGCUAUAAACUUAUGUGUGCUUGAUCCUAACAAUAAUGAUUUGCAUCCUGCUUGCAAAAAGGAAUUUUUGGAUAUAUCUGUGUUUGAAAGAACAGGUGUAGUCGAAUUCAAGGAGGGGAGAUUUCAGUUUACUGAACCAGGACCCACUCAACUUCCAAAAAAGCUUUAUGCUAGGAGUGGUGCUACCUCUGAUGACGAGUUUGACGACAAAACUGCUGCCUCACCAACUAUUCCUUCUACAUCCGCACCACCUUUGAGCAUUCAGUUAGAGAAAAUGGAGCACAAGCUGGACAAGAUGGAGCAGAAUUUGGCCGCAUACUUCGAGAGUGUGAGAUUUAUCCCACCAUUUCCGCUAAGCCCAUAGACGUUAUGAGGAUCAAAGCUCACAAUUCAGGGAAGUUUUUGCCUUUAAUCUUUUAUCCUUACACUUUAAUUUUUAUGUGAGCUUUGAUUAUCUUACAUUGGGGACAAUGUAAGUUCUUGGUGUGGGGGAGGGAUUUUUGCAUUAUUGAUGUCUGGAAGUAUUAUUUUCACUCUACUCAUCUAUUUUCACUCUACUCAUCCUUAAAUGAUUUUAGAGUUAGUAUGCUGCAUAUAUUAUUAUUUUUCUUUUCUUUUCCUUCUCACUACUUUUUUCCCAUCUAUCUCAAAUUAUUCAUAUCUAUUUUUAUUUUACCAUAUUCUUUCAUCACUCACAUUUUAUCUUUCAUUUUUUUUCUACAUACAUCUUUCUCGCUUAUUAUCCUUUUUACCUUUCCUUUUAUAUAUCACUCAUACCUUCUUCUCAUUCUACACCACUAUUGAUGGUUGAUUCAUUUGAAGAGUAUACAUGAUUUAAUGGCAAAUUUACCAACUUUGUGAGGAUUUGAGCCUAUGAGCAACCACUUUGCUCUAUUUAUUUUUGUUAUGUGAAUAUCAAUCUUAGUUUGUUUAUUCUAGAACUUGCUUUGUUGUGCAUGUUGAAGCCGCAUUACGGGAUUUUAUGCAUUAAAAUGAUAAGGGCAAACCGCUUUCCAUUUUUCUAUUCUCACAUUUUUCUUCUUUUUCUCCACCCGAAAACCUUUAUUUGUUAUCUUUGUUUGAGCCUUAAACAUUACCCAUCUAAUUCUCUCCGUCUACUUAACCAUUUUUCUUCUUUUUGAGCCUCAAUUUAAGGAGAUUUUUGGACUCAUUGGGUGGAUAUAUUUUGUUGCUUUUUCUACCUUGUAUUAAAGUUUCUCAAAUAGAUCAACAAGCAUUAUGCUUGAAUUAAAUUGUGCAAGGUUCGUUUUUGUUGUUUGAUUAAAAAAAAAGGAAAAAAACAAAAAAAAAAAAGAAAAAAAUGUUUACAUUCUUGGUGACUUGAGUAGAAAUAACCGUUUCGAUAUCAUAAGAUUCAUUCAAUGAGUUCAUUCUUCUCAUUUUGAUCUCUUUUUCUUUCAUAGACCUUUCUUUUUCAUUUAACCCAUUUAACCCCGUUACAACCUUUUUAAGACCAUUAGAUUUUUGCAUUUAAUUCAUGUUUUGUGGAUUGAGAUGUGAUAUAUAAGCAAGCUUAUGGUAAUAGCAUUCUUUGAUUUGAUUUGAGUGCAUAAAUGACGCCCUAAACACUUUGAGUGAAUGGAGUGAAGUCAAUGAGAGGGCUAUUAAAUCUUGUUGCACUUGAAUUUUGAAUGGAUCUUCUUGGCAGUUGAAUGUUUUUAUUCUAGCUUAUGAGAUUCUAUGCUUUAAAAUCCUUGUCUCUUGAAUGUUGAUCGACUUAAAUUCUUGAGGUAUGCUUGCUUAAAAUUGUUUUUGGAUGAGUUGAGAUGAGAAUUGAGUGGAGAUUUGGGAUUAGUCUUGAGUUAUAUGCUUGAGGACAAGCAUCAUUUUGGUGUGGGGGAAUUUGUUAGAGUGCAAUUUAUGCACUAGUUUUGAAUUGUUUACUUCCCUUAAUAUCGAUGUUUUGCACUUAAUAAUAGUGAUUUACUUGUAUUUUAUUUUUAUAGGUGCAAUUCUAUUGAUUGGUGCAAAAAUUGAGCUACAAGAUGAUGUUUAAGGAUGAUUAUUCUCUUGGAGAAAUUAUGAGCGUCAGAAGAACUUUGUUGAUAACGCGUGGGCGCGUGCUUUCAUCUACGGACCUGUAGUUUUUAAUUUAAUGUGUUUUGUAUUUUUGGUUAUUUUUAUAAUUACGAAUUUAAUAUUUCAGAUAUUAGUAUUUUAUUUUAAAUAGAACUCUAGAGGAGAAGAGAGAUAGAGUAUUUAAGGGAGGAAUCUAUUGUGAAAAAAAGGAGAUUUUUGGAAAAGAAAGAAACCCUAGAUCUAAUUUUUUCUCUUCUCUCUAUGAAGAACUAAACCUAUUAUUCUGGUUGAAGGUUAAUGAAGCUUUGAUUCAUCACUACUGUGAGAUCUUUCUUAUGCUUUAAUUGUUUUAUUGCUUUUUGGGUAUUUGUUUAUUCUCUGAAUUAUUUUCAUGAUUAUGUUUGUUAAUUAGAUAAUUGGCCACUAUUUAAUUAUCAACUUAAUCUAUUGUCAAUUAAAGGAUUCAUCGUAUGAAGAUUUUAAUGUUUGUGACAAAUAACAUAGCAGAGAGUUGUGUUGUGAGAAUAAACAAUCUAAUUUAAAUGAACCAUCGUAUGUGUUUGUUGAUUAGGAUUUGGGUCUCUCUGGUUUUUCAAGCUGUCAAUUGAUUAAAUCCUAUGAUCGUAUCUAGGGUUGUCUAUUGAUUAGGGAAAUAACCAAUGGUCAUACCUUGGUUAUCGACUAGUUAAGGAGAGAUUGGCUAUUAGAGGAUCUCAGUAGCUAUAACCGGUCUAUUCAUAAGUAGUAAUAAUUUAUAUUUGAAUCAAUGAUCAGUAGUCGAAUCAAGUUGAGUUAAUUCCUUCAACCAGAGCUUUCUCCAAUUUGAAUUACAACUUUAAUUUGCAUUCUUGUUAUUUUAAUUUGAUUUUUAUUAUUUUCAACAAAACCCCCAUUUUAUAUUUUACGUUUUAAAAGGAUUUAAAUAAUUACCGAUCUCUGUGGGCACGACCCUGCUCAAUCACUAUACACAAUUUAUUUAGAGUAGGUAUUUAUUUUUGUCGGCUUCGACAACCAUCAUUUUGUUUCUUUAUGUAAUUUUUAGACUGCUCUGACAACUCAUCUUAAAGGUGCCACUCAUCCAAUAUGAUAUGGUGACAGUAGUUUAGAGUUUUAAACUAAAUGCAGAGCUAAUAGUAUUUUGGAAAUAUAAUCAUCCUAAGAUACUAACAAAAACAACAACUUCGGUGUAGAGAGAAAAUGAUUUCACAAAAGCAGAUGUUUUGAUUUAAGUCUCCAAAACCCCCACCAAAGAAAUGUUCAACGGAUAUAGAAAUAUGAUCCACAUAUCUGUAACUUAAACUGUGAAAUUUGUUGAUGCUGUUCUAAAAUUGCCACAAUCUAUCUACCCCAUGAAUGUUAUUGGAUAAAACAACAAGCAGGACCCAAUGCCUGUUUUCUAAUAGCUUCAAAAAGGCCAAAUUGGUUUUGAAAUGUCUCCAGCUUUUCAUUUAACAAGUUUAAGGAUCCCUUCGGCAUUGCAAUUGGGGAGCUCAGAUAUAUAAAAGUCUGGUAAACUCUUACAGCCGCAGCUUUUGAGCAAAAAUAAUUUUAUCUCAUAAUAUUUUGACAAAAAACUUAUAUCACCUUUUAUCAGUUUUGUAAAAAAUAUUAUUUAUAAGUCAUAUUUACCAAACACAAUCAACUUUUACAUCACAAUUAUAGCUUCUUUUUUUUCACCACACAUAUACAGUUAAAAUCUACAAGAACUCGAUAUCAAAUAGAUCCUAAAGCUUAAUCUAAUAAAAAGGUAAAUAAACAAAUGCAGAAGCCAGCGUACUUGAUCAAGACGCUCUGAAUAGUCACUGGGAAAGGGAAUAUCGACGUUAAUGGGGUUAUUGCCAUCGCUUGAAACCGAAUUGGUGAGACAAUUGCGUUUUCUUCUGUACGGAGAAAAUGUGACGAUUCUUUGACCACUGAAAAUUUCGAUUCUACAAUUUACCUGCAAUUAGUGACAAUUAUUCCGUUUAGAAACAAUUUUAAAAAAAAUAAAAAGUAAUAAUUACAAACUCAGAGUAUACCUGUGGACGUGGAAUUGAAGAAACUGGAAUAGGAAGCGUAGGGAGGGCAAUGGCUGUAUUGGAGGAUAACGGCAUUUUGAACCUCAAAGUAAAGAGAGAGAGAGAGAAGAAACGCUUCCCUUUCAAAUACCGCGCUCUUUUGUACCUGGGAAUUUAACUAAUUCAUGCGAAUAAAAAAAUUUAUAAAUUUGGUAAAUUAUUUAUUAAAAAAUAUUGAGAGGUUGUGCAUUAUUUUAUUAGUAAUGACAUGGUAAUAAUCAAAUUAGUUAAAUUAAAAUAGUUGUUGACUCAGUAAUUUAUUUUUAUUAUUUUUAUAUAUUUAUUUAAUUAAUUAAUUAAUGUUAUAUCUAUUUAUAUAAAAAUGUACAGUUCUAUCCUCACUCUUAUUUUAUUUUUAUUAUUUUAAAAAAAAUGGUCUGCGUUAUUAAGGUUAAGGGUGACAACUGGGAUUAAUAUACGGUUUAUUCGAGUGCUUAAAACCUAAUAAAUAUCCACUAACUCAUAUAUAGUAAAAAUAUAAUUAUUUUAAAAAAAAUUAAUAUAAACUAAACAAAUUGAUUGGAUUUUGUUUCUCAAGGUACAUCAUUAGAACGUUACUUUUAACUGAACAAAAGCACACAUAACUAGCACAUUCGCCACAAAAGCCUCGGCUUAGUGGUCGGCUUAUUAAUUAUCCUAAUUAAAUCAUGGUCAUAAAUUUGAGUCCCGGCAGGAAUUAUUAGGCUAGGUAGCUUUUAUAGACUACACUAUAAAUACAUGUAUUUUAAUUCUCGCGGGUAUUGCUUCUAGUAGUUAUCCAUCCGAGUAUAGUGCUUUGUAGCUUUCUUCACGACCUUCCCCAAUUUCAAUGAUUGUUAAUCAAUCUUCAUAGAAAAUGUGAUAAGACUGUAUUUAGAGAAAAGCUCAAUAAAUGAUUUUUAUAGGUCAUCAUUUCAUUUAAUUUUCCGUUAUAUAUAUAUAUUCACCUUUCUCAGAGGCCAAGAAGUCUUCGACAGAAAUGUGAUCCUUGAGCUUCUCCCAAGUUUCAAUUAAUUCGCUUUGAGUGAGGAUAUUUUCUGGUGGCCUCAAAUACAAUGUUUUGUUCAGUACUCGAGGAGCAUUUAUUGUCUUAAUAGUAUUUAUGGCAACAUCAUCGAUAUGCACAGUAAAAAAAAAGAUAAUCAUUUUGUUUAAUAUGAACAUAAAUUGUCAAAUUCUGAAUCAUAUUAUAGUGAACGAUAUUGUCGUAUGGUGUGUGUAUGUACUAUCUAUAGUUUUAAUAUUAUUAAUAAGGAGUUAAAAGUCUUGAUUUAAUUUUAAAUUGUUAUUCCUCUAACUUCACCGUCUCCAUAGAUGCAGACUCUAUCUUUUGAAGGGCGGGGGUAGCUAUAUUUGAGAGAGGUGUCUGGGGAACCAACCAGCAAAAAAUAGCUAGCAGAAACAUAAAUGACAAGGAUUUGAGCAGCCUUGAUUGCCCUUCUCACACAUGCGCUCUGUGUUCUCCCUCCAGCUCUCACUCACUCACGCCCAAAUCUCACCUCACUCACGUAUCUCUCCUUUCUGACCGGUGGUUUUCUCUCUCUCGCCGUGGGUCUCUAGGCUGGCGGGGAUUUCUCGACUUGACUACUAAAACAUAAUCCAAAAACUAUCUCGACUUGACUACUAAAACAUAAUCCAAAAACUACUAAGAUAUAUAUAUAUUACUAUGAUAUACACAAUAUGAAGAAACUGCAGUUAUAUUUCAAAUAUUUUAUGAAGGAAGAGGCUGUAUGGAUUAUCCAAAGGUGCUGAAAUUAAGAGACCCACGCCAACCGACAGAGUGAGUGAAUAUAAGGGGGUUAUUGGGUAAAAAUCACAUAACGCGCAAGCGAAAUUUUAGAUUAUAUUUUUUAAUACUCUCCGAGUCUCUCUUUCUCUUUCUUUUUUGGUUUGAACCACGAGGUGGUCCUGAGUGGGUCCCAACUAUGGAAAGCACUUUUAAGCCCGUACCACAACUUAGACUAAUCCCCACUCGCACCGGGUCGGCCCGUAAGGGGUAAAGUGCUGGGCAAAGUGGUGACUCCAUACGAGAGCGGGACUUGAACCCCUGACCUCUCUUAAGGAGUGAGAGUGCCGAACCACUCACACCAACCAACUUUGGUUAACUCUCUUUCUCUUUUUCUUUUUUUAAAUAAAUGUCAGUAUAAAAUUAGAAAAUUUUAGAUAUAAAAUUUGGCGAUGACCAAACAAAAAUUGCAGGGGAAACCUUGAUAUCAUUGAAAUACUAAUCAUAGACACUGCAGUAUAAAUAACUUCUUGUGAUCUACUCAACUUUAACACUUUAAUCCAUAUUCUAAAAUUUGCAUGUUUGUUAGGAUUUUUAUUAUUGAUACUGUUGUAUCAAUAAAAUUAUAAUUUAUUCAUAUGGAAUGAAAACAUCAAGAAAGGACCUCUGAAGUUUAUUAUAACAGAAAAAAAUGGUCCAUAAGUCUAUUUAUUAUUUUAUUUAUUCAAUACAAAUGGCCAACUUUAAAAAUGGUAAAAGUCACACAAUGCACAAGUAAAAUUUUAGAAUUAAAUUUUUUAAUUCUCUUUGAGUCUCUCUCUCUUUAAAAAAUAAACCUCACUGUAAAAUUAGAAAAAUUUUAGACGUAAAAUUUGACAAUCACCAAAUAGAAAACAUAGGCAAAUGAAAAUGGAGGAGCCCUAUUUUCAUUAGAAUAUUGAUCAUAGAUACUAUAAUGUAAAUCAUUUGUUGUGGUUCAUUCAACCUGUCACACUCUAAGCCAUUUUCUAAAAUUUGUAAGGUUUAUAGGAUUUUUAUUAUUGCCAUCAUUGUAUCAAUAAUAUUAUAAAUUAUAUAUUCUAUUGUAAUGAAAAUUUGUGCAAUCUUAGGUAUGUAUUAUAUUAAAUUGUGUGGAUUAAUUAAGAAUAUUUUUGGAGACAAAAGAAGUGUGUGUAUGUAAGAAUAAUGAUAAAAAAUUUCUAAAUAAAGGUGAUUGCUUCAUUGACAAGUACAUAUUUAUAUUCCUCUAUUAGUAUUUGGGUUGUAAACUCUGUUUAUAAAGUGAAUAUAUUGUGGUAAGCGAUGUGGGAAAUAUCGGAUGCGAAAUAUUGAGAGAUCAUUAACGCAUAUAUUUAUUGAAGAUGCAUAUAGAGGAAAGAGUGUAGAUCCGGCCGUAACACUUAUGAAGCUUUCCCUAAGUAUUCUCAUGCUUGCUUAACUAUUCCGAAGUAUUUUUCAUAGUGUGCAUAUUUACUUUAUGGUGUCUUUAUUCGUCUCAAAUGAUUACUACAGUUCUUUUGGGAUGAAAGGUCAUUUAUUUUGUUAAUUUUAAACAAUAGAAAAAAUAAAUAAUGGUAACGAAAGACUAAUUGUGAUAUUGAAGCGUACGGACUUUAACUCAAUCCAAAAAUUAGUAGGACCCACAUAUAUUUGAUGACGCUGAAAGUUACAUCAAUUGUAACUUAGAAACAUCCAAAUAUUAGACAAUAAUACACAAUAACAAUGCAUAUAAUUUGGGUUUGAUUUUUAAAAAAUUAUUUGAAUAUCACUUAUCCUUAAGAUAUUAAUUUGAAUAUAUUUUAAUAGUAAAUAAUAAAAAUUUGUUUAGUUAUUAUUUGUAUUUCAUACAUUGCAUGUUAGAUUUGUUUGAAUUUUAAGUUGUUGCGAAUAAAUAUUUAUGUUGUGAAAGUCGAAUUCAAUAGCUACAAAAGCAGAGAUAAUUGUAUUUUAUAUAGUUUUUAAGAAUACAAGGAUAAGAUCAUAACGCAUGAGAUAACGGUAUUUUAUAUUAAAAGACCAUAAUGCAUGUAUUUGAGCCAUUUAUAUUGAAGACACAUAUAGAGGAAUGAGUGCAGAUCCGACCAUAACUAUUGUGAAGCUUUCCUCAAGUAUUCUCAUGCACCCAAACCUUAUCUGGUCAAGGUUUCUGAUUGAAUAUAAUCAAUUUCCGUGCAGUACCGAAGACAGCUUCUGUUGGUAGUUGAAUUUGUGGGGAAUGACAAAUGUAGAGAAAUACAACAAUAAUGGUGGAACUUUAUUACGUAAAGUAAUGUGUUUACAACUAACUCUGUAUGUAGUAAGAAAAAUAAUAGUAAUAAGUAAACUUGCAAAAAUUUUGUGUGCUUGAAGGCACGUUACAAAUGUCGCUUUCCUUAAGACGUUAUUUGCCCCCACCAAUUGAGUGAUGCACAUGGGUUAAGCAAAUACGCAUCCAGGAUACAAUGAAGCACUUGUUUGUUUGCUAGUGUUGUGCAUCAACGAAAGCAAACCAGAAUACUCUUGAAUGUUGCAAGCCUGCCAAGAAACAAUAAAUUGUUCCUGCAGAAAACAAUAUAUUGGAUUGUGAAUGCACAAAAGAAAUGGGUGUUUUGUGUUGAAAUUCGUACUAGAAAGGAAUGCUAAGAAAAGAGUGGUGUAGGAUCAUUGAUUUCAUGUCUAAAUGGCUUAAACAUGACCCCUAUUUAUGGAUAUACUUGUGCCCCCUCAUUUGGGUUGUCAUCUUCAUGAUACCCCUUCAUUCAUGGCCAUUGGAUCUAUAUUUAAUUUUAAUCAAUGGUCCAAAUUGAACCAUCACCAUUUCAAAUGAAAUGUCACCAUGAAAUGAUGCAUCUCUAAGUGAAAUGUUACCAUGAAAAGUUAUAUCAUUUAGUAAAAAGAUACAUUUUCUAUAAGACAUAAUUAAAUAGACAUGUCCUUACAACAAGACAUCAUUUAAUUAGACAUGUCUUUAGUGAAAUGUACUUUUUCUAUAAGGCAGAAUUAAUAAGACAUGUCUUCACCAUAAGACACAAUUUAUUUUGAAAAUUUUCCAACAGCUUAUCUGUAAAGCUCUUCAACCACAAGCAUUUCUACAAGGCAAAAGACUAGGACGUGUUGGAAUGAAUAUCAAUAAGGGAAUGUCUUAUGAAUUUGGUUUAUAUCCUAAUAUAAGACAAUCAAUAAAUAUUGGAUGCAAUCUAAGGGCUAACAUUUGAUUGAUCAUUGUACGAAAAAAAAAGGUACAAAAAUACAAAACAGAGCUGAUUGAUGGCCUUUAACAGUCAGUUCUAUGACAAAGUAACCACCACAACAAAUGGAAUUAUAAGACAUCAAGAAACUUGAACUUGGCAGGAGGUCUCAUUAGCAGUAUACCUCAGAAAUUAAGACAGAGACUUUAAAAUGCAAGCUUAUGGAGUAAUUUAAGCACUGAAACUAAUAACAGUGAUGCAAAAAAAGGUGCAGAAGUACGGUAUUAGCAAUUGACCUCUGCUUUUGCUUGGACAAAGGUUUUCAUCACAAGGGACUCAUUAGUUGCCCUUGCCUCACACGAUUGGAUGCUAAGGGGAAAAAGGAAGCUUCUAACGGCAUUCACAGAGAACCUAUAAAACUAAAAAAAAAAAAAAUCAUCCAUGAAAAGGCUACUAACAAAAAAACUAACUCUUUUAUCUGCCACUGACCUAAUCCGCACUCAUUUAAUUAAAAAAGAAUUAAAAGCAAAACUAAAAGAUACAAAUUGCGUACAAGUCUAGGAGCCAUAUCAAAGGCGUUAUAUAACUUUUCCAAUUAAUAAAUUCUCUUAAGGGCCAUACCGUGCUCAUCAUUUCAAAAGCAAUUAAGGAUAAGAACUUUCAUCAUUAAUUGAUAUGGCCAGUGUAGAAAAAAUGAAAAAGCCCUCCAAGAUCAAAGCACAAGGAUCAGUUUAGAAUUACACUUUUUAAAUUUUGGUUAAUAAAUAAACGUUUAUAUGAAAAUAGAAAAUCUUUUUGGAAUAACCUUUUUUUUUCUUUUUUUAAUGAAUGUGGAUAUAAAAUUUUAAAAUCGCCAAACCGAAAAGAAAAACAGGGGAAUGAAAAGAGAGCCCACGUUUCUCCUCUCUUUUGUUUUUAUUGUUAUCAAACAGGGGAAUGAAAAGAGUGCUCUGUUUCUCCCCUGUUUUGAUUUUUUUAUUACUAAACAGGGGAAUGAAGAGAUCAGCUCUUGUCGCAAGCGCAAAUUUUUGUUUCUAAAUGCAGUUGGUUGUAACUAUAUUCGCAGUCCCUAGUACUUAGAAGUAAAGGCUCUUGGAAUUUCUAUUGUAGUACAUGAGAUGUUUCCCGUUCAAAUAGCUCGCCCGAUACCAUUAGCAUGUUCAUCUCUCUAUAGAUUGAUGUUGACAUAGAUGUUAUUCUACUUUUGCUAGUGGAGUUUUGGGCCUUGUCGUAAUUGGUGGAAUUACGACAUCGGUGGCUGACAUGGCUUUCCUUGUACAGGUAUGUAUGAUUGUUUUUUUUGCACGUCUAAAUGGCACUGUUGAAAAGCUUAAAAUUGAACUGAUAAUUUUGUUUGGAAGCUCAGAAAAUUCAUGAGAAAGUGAAAUAGAAUAUUCUGGAUUUCUUUUCUUUCCAUAACAUACAAAUGACAAACGUAGCAGUAUUUAUACUCGUUGCUUACAUCAUAAAAACAGAAUUAAAGCAAGUUAUACAACUAUAACAUAAUAAAAACCGUGCUUAACUAAUUGGCUGAGCUAGCAUAUACUUCUUUAACUAACACAUGCUUAUCGUGCAGCUACUCUUUAGUUCACACGUGCUCAGUGUGCUUCCUUAACAGACACAAGGGAAAAGACAUGAUUUUGAGAUAUAACGCUUGAAUGUUCUCGGAAUGGCAUAACGCUUUGUGUGUCUCGGACCUGUUAAGAAUAACAUAUGCUGAGUCAGCUGCUGAGUCAUCAAGCCACGCUGGAAGUUAGUUUUGCAGUUAGUUAGAGAGCUUAUCAGCUUCCCUCCAAAAGUUUGUUAUGUGUAUUAGAAUCUGGGCUCACGAGUUUUGUGAGAUUGUAACCUUAAGAAGAUUCUCACACUACUAUAAAUUGUAUUGUGACUCAAUUAAUAAAAUAAGUUGAAGCUUUGCAUUUUCUCUCAGUCAAAAUUUUCUCUCUGUUUUUCUAACCAAACAAGAUCUACAGAGCAUCUUGUAUUUUAACUUGGUAUCAGAGCUUGAAUCCAAUGGCCUUAAUCGGUUCCAAUCAACAGUCAAGCAACACUUCCAUAACUUCUUUCACCUUCACAAAUCCAAUUAAGCUUGAUCGUGCAAACUAUACGAUCUGGAAACAAUAAGUACUUUCUUCAAUUCGUGGCAAUGGUCUUGAAGGCUAUAUUGAUGGAUCAAGGAUCUGUCCUAGUCAAUUUCUUUCUCCAGAGGCUAGAUCUGAAGGUUCUUCUUCUUCUAACAUCGAAGGUCAAGAGAAUCCAGAGUAUGCAGCCUGGAGACGUCAAGAUUAGCUCCUGCUCAGCUGGAUUCUGUCGUCCAUGAAUGUAGAUAUUCUCAGUCUUGUGGUAAGCUCUAAGACUUCUUUUGAGUUGUGGAAAAAUCUAGAAAAAUAAUUUGGAUCUGAAUCUAUGGCUAAGAAGGUUCAUCUAAAAAUGCUUUUGAGUAACCUGCGAAAAGGAUCUCUAACCAUGUCUGAGUAUUUUACAAAGCUUAAGUCAGUUACAGAUGGUCUUGCUUUAGUUGGUAGCCCUGUGCAUGAUUCGGAUUUAGUCACUCAUCUUAUUACUAGUCUAGAUCAGUCAUAUUAUCCUGUAGUAGUCUAUAUUGAGGCAAACAUGUUGAAAAUGGAUCUUAGUGAGGCUUAUGCUAUGCUUCUCACACAUGAAGCUAGACUUGAGAAUAAUAAGCUUCAUGAUAGUAAGGAAACCAAGAACAAUUAUGCAGCAAAUGUAGCUCAGGCUGGAAAUUUUUCAAAGAAAGGUAAUAACAAUAAUCAAAACAACUGGAAGGCUGGAGGAAACAAUUGGAAUAAUAACUCUGGUGGAAGAGGUGGUUUUGGUGGUAAUGGAAGAGGUGGUUACCAAGGGUUCAAUCCAGGAAGAGGAAACUAGAAUAAUAAUAAUUUCAGAGGUGUUGCUGGUGGAUUUAAUAGUGGAUUUCCUGGUCCCGGUGGCUUCAAUAACAAUUAUGGCAGAGGUGGUUUCAACUCAGGAGGUGCUGGAAAGAAUUUUGCUCAGGGAACUGGUGCUGCUUGUCAGAUAUGCUUCAGGUUUAAUCACACAGCAGCUGAUUGCAGAGACAGGUUCAACCGAAAUUUUAUCCCAAAUUUUCCAGCUCCAGCUCCAAAUCACUUCUGUAAUCAGCAUCAAGGACCAAGAGCAGUCUUCAUAACAACAUCUGAAGGAGCUGCUGAUCAGGGAUGGUUUCUGGAUAGUGGUGCAACUCACCACUUAACCAACACAGUUCAGAAUCUGAGUGAUGGUAAAAUCUAUUUUGGCUCAAACUUACUUACUGUUGGUAAUGGCCAAGGUCUUAGAAUUACUCACAUAGGUUAUACACAACUUCACACUUCUUUUGGCACCUGUUUACAACUACAUAAUAUUUUGUGUGUCCCUCAAAUUACCAAGAACCUCAUUAGUAUUUCCAAACUCCUCACUGAUAAUGAUAUAACCAUUGAAUUUUUCUCUGAUGUUUGCUUUCUAAAGGACAAGGUGAAGGGCACUCUGUUGGCUCAGGGGAUAGCCUAUACAAGCUACUAUCAAAAGAGGAAUCUCUCUCUUCUUCCACUUCUGUUCUGCCAGUGUCUCAUCCUAGUUCUAUGAUGUCAACUCUUUCCUGCAAUAAUGUAGUUACUUCUGUUCAAAGUUCAAAUAAUGACUUCUGUUUUAAGUCUACAUUUCCUGUAAGCUUUCAAACUUCAAGUUAUGUGUCAGCAAAUAUGUUGCACAAUAGACUUGGUCAUCCAAGUAAACAUGUCAUACAAACUAUUCUCAGAAACAAUUGUUUAAUGUCAGCCAAUGUUAGUAAAUCAAAUUUUCUUUUCUGUGAUGCCUGUCAAUUGGGAAAGUUACAUCAAUUACACUUUCCUGCUACUGAAAUCAAAACAAAAAACCCCUUAGAAUUAAUACACACAGACUUAUGAGGACCAGCACCAGUUUUAUCACUAGAUGGCUAUAGAUACUAUAUUUCCUUUGUUGAUGACUUCACCCGAUAUUGUUGGAUCUUUCCUUUAGUUUUAAAAUCUGAUGCUCUUACUACUUUCAAAAACUUCAAGAGCUUAGUUGAGAAACAAUUCAGUCUGCCUAUCAAAAUUCUGCGGUCUGAUAUGGGAGGUGAAUUCAAAGCUUUUCAGUCCUUUCUUCAACAAGAAGGUAUCCAAGCUAGAUUUAGUUGUCCCUAUACUCACCAUCAAAAUGGUGUUGUUGAGAGAAAAUAUAGACACUUAGUAGAAACUGGAUUAACACUCCUUACUCAAGUAAAAAUGCCUAUUUCUUUCUCGUGGGAGGCUUUCCAUACAGCCUCCUAUCUCAUUAAUAGAAUGCCUACCACUACACUGAACAACUUAUCUCCCUAUCAAAAGCUUCAUAAUCAGCCACCAAACUAUCAACUUCUCAGAGUUUUUGGUUGUGCUUCCUAUCCUUUUCUCAAGCCUUAUAAUGAUCACAAGCUUGAUUUUCAUUCCCAAAAAUGCUUGUUCUUAGGUUACAGCCCUCUUCAGAAAGGAUAUAGGUGUCUAACAAAGUCAGGUAAAGUAUAUGUUGCUACUCAUAUUGUUUUUAAUGAAUCUGAUUUUCCCUAUUCAGAGUUGUUCUCUUCAUCUGAGUCUUCUUCCAAUUCUCUAUCAUCAUACUCUCCAUCUAUUUGUAUCCUUAAUGACAGUGGCUUGCAUCAAUCAUCAGCUACAUCUCCUACUUCAGCAAAGUUACCAACUAUACAUUCACCUCAACAUCCUCACCAAGCCCCACACUCUCCUUGUCCCUCUCCAGUCUCAGAUUCCUACAGCUAAUCAUCACCACAUUCUUCAUCACAUAAUGCUUUAGCCAAUCCCUCUGAUGAAUUACAACCAUCAUCUCAACCUGUCAUUUCAACUCAUCAGAUGGUCACUCGAGCCAAAUCUGGUAUUUUUAAACCAAAGACCUACCUUACAGCUACCCAAGACCUUGAACCAGUGAGUGUUAAAGCAACCCUAAUUGAUACAAAGUGGAAAAUGGCUAUGCAAGAAGAGUAUAAUGCCUUGCAGAAGAAUGGCACCUGGACAUUAGUUCCAGCUGAAACAGCUACAAAACUUGUUGGCAAUAAGUGGGUUUUUCGAGUUAAAUAUAACCCAGAUGGCAGCAUUUCCAAGUAUAAGGCUCGGUUGGAUGCAAAAGGUUUUCAUCAAACCUAUGGAGUAGAUUUCUUUGAAACUUUUAGUCCAGUUGUUAAACCCUGCACUGUUCGUAUUGUUCUCAGCUUAGCAGUCAUGCAUUGUUGGCCAGUUCGGCAAUUAGAUGUUAACAAUGCCUUUCUUAAUGGCAUGCUUACUGAAGAUGUGUUUAUGCCUCAGCUAGAAGGCUUUAUCAGCUCUCAGUUUCUCAAUCAUGUCUGCAAAUUACAAAAAGCCCUUUAUGGUCUUAAACAGGCUCCAAGGGCUUGGUAUGAUAGAUUGAAAGGGUCUUUAGUUCAGUGGGGUUUCAAAUCUUCAAAGUCAGAUACUUCACUGUUUUUCAAGCAUAUUGGCAAUAAUGUUCUCAUCAUCCUUGUUUAUGUAGAUGAUAUCCUGAUAACAGGCUCUAGUGAUGUUUAUAUUUAAGAGGUUAUCAGUCUACUUAGCUCAGAAUUUGCACUUAAAGAUUUAGGAGAUUUUAACUACUUUCUUGGGGUAGAAGUGACUCCAUCUGCUGAAGGAUUACAUCUAUCUCAAACUAAGUAUGUUGGUGACAUCUUAAGAAAAGCUCAUAUGCUUGAGAGUAAAGGUUGUAAUACACCUAUCAGUGUUGCUGAUAAAUUGCAGAAGGACAAAGGCUGCUCAUUUACAAAUCCCUCACUUUACAGAAGCAUCAUUGGUUCUCUGCAGUAUCUGACACUGACCAGACCAGAUAUUGCAUUCACUGUAAACAAAUUGAGUCAGUUUUUAGCUGCUCCAACUAUCUUGCAUUGGCAGGCUUGCAAGAGGGUAUUACGAUAUCUACAAAGCACAUCACAUUUUAGACUGCAAUUCUUCAAGUCAGGUUCUCCAAGUCUCAUAGCAUAUUCUGAUGCAGAUUGGGGGUCUGAUCCAGAUGAUAGAAGAUCUGUUGGAGGGUAUUGUGUUUAUCUUGGAUCCAAUCUUGUGUCUUGGUCAUGUAAGAAACAGAACAUUGUUUCCAGGUCAUCUGUUGAAUCUGAGUAUAGAGCAUGGCCUUAGCUACAUCUGAGGUUUUGUGGAUUACAUAUCUAUUAAAAAAGCUCAAAGUAUCACUUCCCAAACCUCUUGUUCUUUACUGUGACAACAGCAGUGCAGAAGCUUUGGCUAGCAAUCCUAAGUAUCAUUCCAGAACUAAACAUAUAGAACUGGAUUUACAUUUUUUCAGAGAACACAUUGCCAACAAGGAUCUCUUCAUUGAACAUGUGUCUAGUUCUGAUAAGCUAGCUGAUGUGCUUACCAAACCUCUGAGUUUUGAUCAUUUUGCCUAUAUGCAAACUAAGGUCAAUGUCUGCCCAUGACCUUGAGCUUACGGGGGCAUUUUAAGAAUAACAUAUGCUGAGUCAUCAAGCCAUGCUGGAAGUCAGUUUUGCAGUUAGUUAGAGAGCUUAUCAGCUUCCCUCCAAAAGUUUGUUAUGUGUAUUAGAAUCUGGGCUCACGAGUUUUGUGAGAUUGUAACCUUGAGAAGAUUCUCACACUACUAUAAAUUGUAUUGUGACUCAAUUAAUAAAAUAAGUUGAAGCUUUGCAUUUUCUCUCAGUCAAAAUUUUCUCUCUAUUUUUCUAAGUAACCAAACAAGAUCUACAGAGCAUUUUGUAUUUUAACUGGAGCGGCUGAUUGGUGCUGUACGUGUUACAUUUUUACUUUUUUAACUCAAGUCUGCUGUUGUCCCAAAGUUGGAACUAGAGAUAUCAUUUCACCUCAACUGUGUUUUUUUUUUAAUUAAAAAAAUCAUUUGUUUUAGGUAUACAUACAUGUAUUUUAAUUCUAUUUUCCUUGUAAUUUCUCCUUUACUUUGAAUGAAAGUCAUUGGUGUUUUCGAAUGGGAAUUUUGCAUUAAAAAAUUAAGAAUAGUUAAUAGGAAAUUUCCUGAUUCUUUAGUUACUAUUUUUGGUAUGAGUGUAAUUAGUAGUAAAGUUGGUUUCUACUCGCAAACAAGUGAACUGCUCGAUUCCCAAGUGCUAUUAACCAGUUUCCAACUUUUUAAUAUACACUAAUUGUUCCUGUUUAAUAGCUACUACUAUUAAAACUCAACAGCUAACAAAAAUACUAAAAAAAAUGAUUUUUUCUUAUGAUGCUGUGAAAAAAAUUACGGGUUUACUUAUUUCCACGAGAUCUUGUAUAGUGUUCUUGUAUAGUGGAAUUAAGAUUGUCUUCCCGAUGGUGCAAUUCACCCUCUUCCUUUACAGUCACUUGCACUUUGUGCAGCUUUGGUGUGGAUAAGAUUCCCAGGGAAAAAGUCUUCAUGUUCGGACAAUGUGUCACAAAUACUCGUUCCAAUGAUGGGAAUUCAAGAGGGUAAUUCUCCAAACAAAAGCUGGUAAGCCUUGGUAAAUACGACUCUCCUUCACUUCUUCUCCAGCAUGUCCUACGAUUUCUUCUAAUUUUUUGCAGUUCCAUACAUAAAGAUUCACCAGACUAGUAGGAAUUCCAACCUGAAAAUAAGCAGAGUGUGUGUGUGUGUGUGUAUAUAUAUAUAUUAAAAAAGUAAAUAUGUAAGAGUAUCAUUCAACUAGGCUCAAAGAAUGUUUAAUCAUACAAUUAUACGUUUUAUGAACAUAACAAACUGUGAAAUAUCUACUAGAUAUUUUUUGUUAAACAAAAAAGGUAACAAGAUAAAUAAAUAAAUAAAAGCCAGAUAAACAAAGAUGAUAAAAAUGUAUUUACACUAUUUAGUAUUAGGGACGUAGAAAGAAUUUAUGGCAAUUUCUAAAUAUUUUGGACUUAUUUUGCAUCUUGAUAUAAGUUUUUAAGCAUAAAUUUGCAAAUUUCAACUAUUCCUUUAAAAAAAAAACUCAACUAAAAUGCCUCUUUUUCCCUUUUCCUUGGUCCCUAUUUUUUAUGUAUAUAUAAAAAUGGAAAAAAAAAUUUUGGAAAAGACUUCCCAGUACUGUCAACAAGGGAUUGCUGUAAAGUGGAUCUUUAUUAAGUACUUCCAGACUCGAGGAAAUUUCUUUACAAUCAAGGGUCAGUUGUAAACAAUCAUGAAUUUGUGGUUAAUUAAUGGCAUAAUCAAUUCUUAACUAAACUGGAGAUAUUAAUUAAAUUUGAAGACUUUUUUUUUUUCCAAUCGAAAUGUGAAGAAUUAAGGAAAAGAGAAAUAUAUAGAUGAAUUUGUGAACCUAUAAGAUGAGUGACUAUCCUUUAAUUUUUGAAAAUUGUACUUAUUAAGACAUGAGCAGAAACAAUUAAAUUGAAUUAUAUUAUGCUGUUGAAUCGUGAUUAAAAAAAUUAUAUUGUUGAUUCUAAUGCUGGCGAACCUAAAAACUGGACUUAAAACGUAGAUUUCAGAGUGGUGGUUUGAAGUACAAUACUUGAAAUAAAUAAUCAGUGGCUAAAUAUCAUUUGUAAACCCAAAAAUGGUUAAAAUAUUGUUGAAUGUUAUUUGAAAAAAAAAAAAAAGAGAUUCAAAAUGAAUAUUCUUACCAAUGGAGGAAAAAUAUUCUUUAGGUUAUCACACCAAGAUAUCUCCAAAUUCUUCAAUUUGCUGAAAGACUCCGAAGCAAGCUGGUGGUGCCAUAUUUUUCUCAAAUUAUCCAUCCAGUCAAUACGUAAUACCUCCAACCUAGGAAGUCGUACCUGACAGUUAAAGAUUAAAUAACUAAUUAAUCAAUUAAUGGCAUAAUCAAUUGAUAAAUAAAUUAGAGGCGGAUAUUAACUAAAUUUGAAGACUCAAGGAAAAGACAAAUUAAAUAUUGUGACUAAAAUAAAUUUAAAAAAAAAAAAAACCUUUUCGUCAAAGAGAGGAGGUUGCAUUUCAGAAUGAAUGGUGUCUUCUGGUGAGCUCGUGGAGAUGAAUCUUAACAUAUUCCAGCAACUCUGAAUCUCGAGGUUUAGCAAAGAAGGGAAUUCAACAACUAAAUCUGAAUGAAUAUGUCCCGUAUUGGCAAAGCUUGUUAGUUCUGGAAGCCAAUAGAGCCGCAGGAAGUGUAGUUUAGGAAAUACCUUUAAUUCAAUCAACUUUCCUUCAUCUCUUUCUGACCAUCCCGUGGUGUCGACUACCCCUUCCAUUGACUCACAAUAGCUUAUCUCAAGAUGUUGGAGCUGCAAAAGGCUAUUAACCAUAGAAUAUGAAAACAGAUACUUCAUACGAUGACAACCGACCACGUGCAGCUUUGUUAGAUUUUGACAACAGUACAUUCCUUGAUUAUGAUCGGCCCAUAAUUUUUUCAUGUUUCUCAAGUCCCUGAGAUUCAAUUCCUCUAAGCUCGGAAGAAUAACCU